This 78465-nucleotide long non-coding RNA is filed under the name Coffea arabica (coffee). The record is from RNAcentral. Lineage: Eukaryota; Viridiplantae; Streptophyta; Magnoliopsida; Gentianales; Rubiaceae.
ACUGGUCCUCGAGAGAACCCAGAGGGGUCUGGGACAAAGGGUCCCAGGGGGGCUGGGUUUUAAUAAGGUCAGGAGCAGGCCAGGAAGCGGUGGAGAUGGAAGAAAGCAUUUGUUCGAGGAAGUCGUCGUGGGACGACGUCGUCGAGUCGAAGUGGUGUGCUUGUUGUUGGCCGUUUUGGAGGUCGUGGAGUUGUUGGUUAAGGAGGGAAUUCAUGGCUUGCAUUUCUCUGCUACUGCUACUACCGGGUUGCAUUUUCUGUGAACGUAGGAGAAGUUCUUGAGCCUUAAAUUUCACGAAUAACGAGAGAACUUAAGCUAGCAAGUGAUUCGUCUUCUUUUCUUUUCUACUAUACGAUACGAUGAUUUUCGGCACUCGCGGGACGAGAGAGAGAGAGAGAGAGGACUUUAGUUGUCAACUGUGCUACGAGACUCGAAUAGAAGUCGAGAAAUAGUAGGAAGUGGCAAGUGAUGGAGGAAGAAAGGGCUGUUGUUACUGGUUUUUGAAGACGAGAAGAGGACUGUGAAGAAGAAGUUUUGUGUUUGGAAAUGGAAUGUUUCGAGUAGCCAUGUAUGUAGAUUUGUGGGAACUUCUUCGAGUGAAUAAAUAGUAGUGUGUUUAAGCAUUAUUAUUGCUUCUUCUGCUGUUUCUUUUUUCUUCAAAAAAAAAAAAAAAAACUAGUAGUAUUUCCUUUUUAUCUUUUUUGUUUUUUGAGAUCUUUUGGUUGUAUUCUUAAGUAGGUUCUGUUCUACAGUUUGGGGAUUUUGUUUUGAUAUUGGAUGGAUUCACACUUGUAAGCUCUCCUGCCACUUACACAUCCAAAUCAGUGAAUCAUACGCGCUUUCGGUUUUUUGUAGUGUCGUUCUCUUUUGCAGAAUAUAUAUAUAUAUAUAUAUAUAUAUAUAUAUGUUUUUCAUCAUUAAUUGAAUGAACAAAUAAACUCUCAUACUUAGUACAUUUCAAAGUAUUCUGAAAAAUAUUUGCACUUUUCGAUUAAACUCGUAAUAAACUUUUGAUGUUUUUAUAGUUCAUGCAUUAUACUUUAAUUUUUUUUUAAAAUUAAAAUUUAAGGACAAUAAUUUAUCUCUCUAAUUAUACACAAAAUAAUAGCCACAUAUAACAUAAUUAUAUAAAUUUAUAUAUAAAGGUAAAGAGGCGAUAAAACUUUAAUAAAUUUAUACACGAGGUCAAGAGUUUAAAUCUGUAUAAAUAUACCAUAAGUUUUUUUUUUUUAAAUAUAUAUAUAUAUAGUAGUUUUAACCAUAUUUUUAAUUCCAUGAAUUUCAAAUAUAUUUUUACCAUUCACGUACGAAUUUAUAGGCGUAAUUUUGUUGAACAUGUUUUCUUGCUCCGAACUUUUAAUUAUACCGAAUUACAGAUAUAAAGAAUGGUAAGAGUUUAGACCGUACCGUUUGAUAAGGUACACUUUGUGAUGGGUUGUUCCCACUACUAAUAUUAUCACGACAUGAUUAUAGAUACUCAGUGCUACCAAAUUAUUGCAAUCAAGCUUCCUCUAUUUCCUUCUACAAAAAGCUCGAUCAAUAGUGCGCAGCAAAGUUUUUUUUUUUUUUUUUUUUUUGGAUAAAACAUCAUAAUUUCAUUAAAAUUUACACUAAUGAUAGAAGUUAUACCAUCAAAUAUACACAGAUAUCAAAGAAUAAAUCUGAAAAAUGGAUGCUAUAGAUAUAAAAAAAAAACAGAUAAAAAUUAUACUGUAAACUCCAAAAACAUAUUUUGUUCCAAUCCAAUCUUAAUUCAAGGGCUGAUUCGGAUAAUUGUCGGUUAAGUGAUUUGAUGAUGAAGGGCAAAAAUGAGAAUGACUUCCCUUAUUCAUUUUCUCAUCUUCGCCCUGUCCAGAAUGUCACCCUGAUUGCGAGGGGGUGGACAAAGAUUUGCUGAACCACAAGCGGAAAUUAGAAACUUGUUGGGCCGUGAUACGAAAGCGCGCGGCUUUCCCAUAUUUUACUCUUAGUUAAUGGACCAUUAAGUCCUCCGAUGCACCCAAAAAAAAUUGCUCUCUUAAUGAAGGUUGUUCGGAUUGCAUUUUCUACGAUUUUUCAUGAAAAAAUUACUGUAGCGAUUUGAUGUAUACGAGAGAAAAAGGUAAUAGGAAAAUGUGAUCGUGGAAAACGAUGUAAUUUUCUGAUAAAAAACUGCAAUCCACACAAGAAUCAAUUCCAAUUUAAAUAGACAGCGGUAAACAUUGAAGGACCUUUGUCUUUUGUUACUUUUUAUAUUUUUCGGAAUGUAAAGAGAUAGUGAAGAAUAUCAAGGCCAUUCUUUCAAUUCUCUUAAAAGGUGAAAGAAAAAUAAGUAACGUAAUGUUGUGCACAUUGAUUUUAAAUGGGCUUAUAGGAUUGCAAGACUUUUAACCUAGAAUUAAGAGAAGGUAUGUUUAUGCAUCGAUGUAAUUUCACAACUACAUACAUAUAAGCAUACUUGCGUCUAUACUGCAUAUGCACCCAUAGUAGUAAAUUAGAUUAUCUUCGAAUGACCAAAAUCAUUUAUAUAUUUUACGUUCAUGGUUCCCAAUUUUUUUAAAAAAACUUGGGUUCCCCGUGACAUCUUGCAACAACGUGAUGGCCUUAUUAAAUAGGCGUUGCUAUUUGUGAAUAAUACUUUCUCGUCUGGAUUGCUAUAUUUUAGAGUUUCUGUGAAUAAAUGUACUGUAAUAAGUAAUUUGAUAUAUGCGGAUCGAUUACAAAAAAUGAUUGGAAAAUGUAAUCGUCAAUAAUUUGAUAGAAAAAUGCAAUGCAAACACUUAUUCACGAUUAUAGUGAAGAAUGUAAAAUACACCAAUCACCAAAAGAUCUACGUGCAACUUGGAACAUUUUUUUUUUUAAAGCAUCUUGCAUGAUGCUAUGUGUGAUUAAGCGUGAUUUGCUAGAACUACUAGUGAGGUGCAUGUACAUUGCAUCAUUUGAGAUCCAGUAGACAGACGAAUGAAUCGUAUUAAAUAAAUGAGCCAUGACUAAAAUCUUACCCUGUUGAUGUUACGACAACGAGUAAUUGAUUUAAAUUAAGAUUCAUAGAGAGAAUUAAAAAAAAUUCUCUUAAAAAUACAAUAAUGCUGCAGCAGCAGCAGCUAGCUGCUUAGCAGUUGAAUAUAUCUACAAUUAUUCUGAUAUUAUGGAUGCCUUCGGAAUAUAUCUACAAAUAAGUACAUGAAAAGUCAUUCAAGUCCUUUUUUUUUUUUUUUAUCUUAUCGUUUCUUGAGAAAGAGAGAGACUUUACAAGCUUAUGAUCAAUAAAAAUCAGUAAAGCUAGACACUUGUGAAGACGAAGAAUUUGUAGGUAUACGUCCUUUUCCUGCACCUAUCACUGACUCUUUCAUUUACAUGUUAAGAUCCUUCUUUACAGCUCGCCACCACACAAACUAUUGAUAAAAAGAUGAGCUCCAUUGAGUUUCAUUACAAUUAUCAUAUCAACUGAAAAGGCAGGAAUCUUAAGCCAAGUGCACAUCUUGACAACGUAUGGAAAUAUUAGGGAAAAAAAUAUUAAUAACAAUUGAUAAGCUCGACAUUUCUUAGACAGCGAAACAUUUUAAUGUCUAGUUGGUAAGAUGUUUCUUCAUCUGUAACCGAGAGAUUACGGGUUCAGAGUCAUAAACUGCUAUUGAUCCUCUUAAUAAAAACGAAAAAACAAGUCCGAAAAAGCUUGUAUUUAUUUUUGAGAGAAAAAAAAAAAAGAAGAAGGAAGCGUGCUUGGGUUUUCCUUAAUGUUUCUAGAUUAUUUUCAAUUUUUUUUUUUUCCGUUUGACUAUGGAGUUAUCGAUCAGAAACAUCUAGCAGGCGGGUUUCUAAAUUCGUAAUUUUUGUGUUCCAUAGCCAUUAGGAAAGGACCAAAUCCAUUCGAAUUUUCAAAAUAGUCUCUUUAAAGAAUCACUUUUCUGUAUAUAUGUAUGUUAAUUAUUAAAAGCAAAAGCAAAAGAGAAAUGACUUGGAGAGAAUUUCUUGAGAACAAACAAACAAUGAUUGUUAAUUGAUGGAUGAUAUGCUCGUCCAUAUCACACAAAUCUUUCAUAAUCACGAAGGAUUAUCAACUGUCUCGAGAACUCUUUGAAUGACUAAACAUUCCAUCAUUGUUUUAAUAUGACGCACUAUAAGUAGAAUUGUACUUGGAAGAAGGCCAAAAAAAAAAACAAAAGAAGAAAAGAAUGAAAUAAUAGGAACAGGUAAUGAUAUUUAGAAAUCUUUCUAUUAAAAAAAACUAGAAAACGAAAACAUUACAUGGCUUCACAUAUUAGGCAUGAUUUCGUUUUCUAGUUUUUUUUUUCUCUAAUGAUAAUUCACCUAAAACAGGAAUGAAAAAAAAAAGAAAGGAAAAAAAAACUUAAAACAGAAUGACGGAGGAGGAAAAAGAAAAGGGUUUAUCCAUACUUGACAAAAAAAAAAAAAAAAACGAGCCAAUUGAUUAACUAGAAAAUGUAAGUUUAAUUAAAAAAAGAGAGAGAGAGAAAAAAAAAAGGAAAUCAGCGAGCUUAUAUUCCUAUUGAAUAAAAAAGAAAAGUGAGAUGCUCUUUACAAAAGUAAAGAAUUAAUAAUGUAUUAAUGAUUGGAAGCAUCAAAUUCAAAUCAAGAAUUUGUAGUUACAUUAUUAUAAUAACCGGAAAAUACACUAUAAUUUGUGUAAAGGCGACCGUGCUUUUGGCUGUACAUAUAAUUGAAGAUCUGAUCAUUUAUUCUGGUCAACCCUUAUUGCCAAUAUUUAAUUAAUAGUUGUAAUUAAAGUGACAGGGGUGUAAGUAAAUUCUACUAAUAUUUAUAGCACAAAAGCAUAUAUUCUGUCGGCUACAGAUCCUAAUACCCAUCCCCUUUUUAUAAUAAUAAUAAUAAAAAUAAAAUACAUUCUUACAAUUUGUACUUGCAGUCUAACAGCAGUUUGUUAAUAUUCCAUUUUUGAAACUUUUGUAAGGAUUUUCUAACGAGUAGCUCGAAAUAUUUAACGUUCCACUUAUUAAAAUAUCUAAAUUACACCUAAUUCAUCACGUGAACGUGAAUGUACGCACUCACAUUAUUUGUCUUCUGUAUUUAAAUGCUUUUUCAAAUUAGUUUCUCUUACUAAAAAAAAUUAACAGUUGGAACUAUUUAAAGCGAGUGUGUGUCUCCGAGGAUUUGUUAGCCUAUUAAGAAAAUUAUGGUUUAGAGUAACUAAUCUUGUUGGAUUAGCCGAUCGUAAUGGGAUUAAGUGCGGCCAUGUCAGUGAAGUGACACUCAUAUAUUUUGCUGUUUGCAUUACUUUAUUUUGAUUUCUUCUCUUUAAGUAUGAAAAUUGUGAGAUGGAGAGCUGAGUUUGUCUAAAUAAUAUAUUUGGAUUGAAAAUGUUUUUUUUUUUCAAUAUGUGAUUUCAUCUUGCAUAUAUAUUAACUGAACUCCCAAGCAAGAUUAAAGACACAUAAUUUCUGAAUUAUCAUGAUUAAUCUUGGGAUGAUUCUCAUCCAAUGCUGUUUGCCAAUGAGGAGCGUAAAUGAGGAAUUUCAACAGAUACCUAAGAUCGAAAGAAUACAAGAGAAAAAGAUACGAAUACAUUACUGUGAUCAACGGAUGGCUAGUGUAGAGUAGAGACAUACAUUAGCAUACUCGUACGAAUAACAAAUGUAGACUUCCCUCAUAUGCCUCAAUUUUCAUCAUCAAAAUAGACAAUAGGAGGCUACUCCAUCAAACAACAUAUAUAUAUAUAUUCAGUGCAAAAACAGAAUAAUAGAGGUUAUUCUUCACCUUUGUCUCCGACGUUAGCUCCAGGAGAACUAUUCAAGAUUCUAAUUAAUUCUAUGUAGUUGCUGUGUUGUUGUUAACAACACACGGAAAUUAUUGGGUACUAAUUAGCUAUUGAAAUGAUUAGCCCAUUGUGUAGGAUGGGCAUGGCAAGUUAAUCACAGUGCUCUUGACCUUAACCAUCAUGUUAAUGCUGUUGGUGAUGCCUUGUGAUCCUAUUCCACUGUCCUUAAUUCCCUGCACAUUAAAAUCAUAUUGUUCUUAGAGAAGAUGUGGAGGAUAGACUUGAAGAAAUGAACAUUGUAUAGAUGGUUUCUUGAUGACGUGCAUGACUAGGUUAGGCUUGUAAGUUCACCUGGAAGGGAAAAUGAUCCGGUCCACGAGCUGGAGCGGAGUUAAUCUGGACGGUUCCCGUCUCCAUGGCAUCGCUGAUCAACAUAGCUUUGUUGAUAUCUUUGGUGAAGACACAACCCUGUUUUUUUGGUGAUACGGAUCAAGAUGUUCAGAAAAAGAAGCACAGAAAAAUCUUUUGAGGCUGAGAUAUUUAGAUGGUAAGCUAGAUGAGUUUAUACCUGUAGGCCAAAAUUGCUUGCAUUGCAAUGGUGAAUUCCUUCUUCAGCAGAGGUAAUCCUAAUCACUGGCAAAACUGGCCCAAAUGGCUCCUCCCAUGCUAUCCUCAUGUCUGGCCUAACAUGGUCUAGCAAAAGUGGCCAGAUGAGAUUGCCCUCUCUUUUGUAUUCCUGGCAAAAUGUUGCGCCCUUCUGCUUAGCAUCCAUAACUAACCCUUCAAUGAAGUUUGCGAUGACUCUGAGACAACUGCAGUGAUAUCACAAUCAUCUUCGGGAGGUCCAACUUUUAGUUUUGCUACUUUGGCAUUUACUUUUGCAACAAGAUCAUCAGCCACAGAUUCCAUCACCAAAACAACCUUAACAGCUGUGCACCUUUGACCACUGUUAAAGUCCAACAAUCAGUUAGAAGUUCUGGCUGAUUACAAUAAAAACAACACGCGAUGCAGCGUAGAGCUCCAUCCAUUUCCUGAGGCAGCUAAAGGGUGUAAAAGGCAGUGCCUAAAUCUUGUCCACCAUUACCACCCUCUACAUUAUAUGGGAUAGAGGUUCUUCUACUUGUGAGGAGCAUGAGAUUGAUCCUAAAAUUCUGAAUAAGUUCCAAAACUUGGAUCUUUAGUAGUACGACCAAUCUAAACUAGCAAAGUCCAGUCAUGUGUCUACAUUAGAUCACUCAAAGACAUUGGCUGUAAUAACCUAUUUGUGGGGAAAAUUGAACUCUGAUAUCCAUCUCCACCAAGCAUUCAUUUUCCUAAUUUUAUGUUUCAAUUUCAAGUUAUGUUAGACAUUUAAUUGUUAUUUUAUUCAUCAACUCCCAACUUAUGAUGUCAGUGGAUGAAUAUUCUUUAGUGAGUGGGCCUAAUUUUUUCUGCAAUCAAGUGCUUUUCUAAUCCUUUUAGCCUUCAUGUUUUGACUAAUGCAACAGCAAUAAUGCCAUCUUCGUUUAUCCAAUUCAACCUGGCAUGUAUUCAUUCAUACGAGUCGCAAGCAUCUUUCCUUGCUUAAUUUCAAGAUGAAUGAUGAAGACAGCAAUUUAUGUGCAUGGCACACAGACCAAAAAUAGAGAAAUGGCGACUCGAACAAUUUCAGAGGUUGAAAUUUCAAUGUUGGUACCAAGUUUUAGAUUGAUAAAGCAAGUUUUCUAGAGCACCAUAAGCAAAAAAGAGAGAUGCUAAACCUGUAAGAAAAACCUCCUUUGACAAUAUUUGCUGCAACCAAAUCUAAAUCUGCAUCCUCAAGGACAAUACAAGCAUCUUUUCCUCCCAGCUCCAUUUGUAAGGGGAUCAUGCCUGCUUUCUUUGAGAUCGCAAUCCCAGUGUCACCGCCAGUAAAGCUACAGAAAGCACACAAUUUGUACUAUCAGCAUUACUGGAAAAAGUGGCUUAGGAAACCACCAAGGAUUAAGAAAUUUGGUUUACCUUAUACAGUUCACACCAGGAUGCAUGGUGAGGAAAUCACCAAUCUCAGAACCUUUCCCAGUGACACAGUUAAUAAGGCCCUUUGGAAAGCCAGCUAAGUGGAAACAAUGAACCAUAUGUAGGGCUGACACAGCACCCUGUAUCAAAGAAACAAGGCACUCUUUUAGGUAACCAAGUCCCUAUGCACAAGAAGUAUAUGCAUUGCACUUUUGGAGCACAUGUAGCCCAAAAAGUACGUGGAGAAAGAAUUAUUACUCGAAAAGAAACCAAUGAAAAGUCACAACCUAACAACUCCCAUCAAGCAUUCGAAUAGACCAAACUGUGAAUGCUUCUACUCCAUGGUUAUAUCGUUGGAGAAUACAUAACAACUAGCCAGCUUGCUUAAAUCCUACAUGCAGCAAUUAGUAAGUUGCAUGGAAGUACCUGAGUUGGAGGCUUGAGAACAAUAGAAUUCCCAGCAAUCAAGGCAGGUGCUAGUUUGGAGACGGCAAGGUUAACAGGAUAGUUAAAGGGGGAAUGGCUAGGACAACACCGAGUGGGAUCUGUAUCACAAGAUUUGAUCAGUAUAAUAAAACCUCAGUAUCUUGUGAAACAAGCUUUCCUGAUUCUUUUGGCAAUGCUGGUCAGGCAAUUGUGAAAAGUAAGGCAUAGUAAUAAAGGAGCAAUUGAUGCUAAGUAUCUAAUGAGAGUUUUCCAUCACCAAUCAACUGAAUAUAAUUGAAGAAGGCCGCUGUUCUGAAGCUGCGCAUUAAAACACUCGAAUGCCGAUGACCAAGUAAAUUCAUCCAGAUUGGCAACUGAAAACAUGAUCUUGAACCUUUAAGGAAAUUCUCUAUUUGAUAUAGCUUCUUUUAUUUUCUAUGCUGGGACAUGAUUUCAGAUUAGGAAUACAUGUGAAGAUAGUUCAGUGGCAAUCAAGUUCACGGACAUCUUAAGUAGAAUUGCUGAUUCAAAAUGACAACGGAUUAGUAGAAGUCAUCUUAGAUGAGGCCAUUGCAAGUUGUGCAGGUUCCAGUCACUAAUUAGUAAGUCCAAACAAUCAACUAUCUUUGGCAUUAUUCUGCUUACAAUAGCAAAAUUAUGGCUAUUUAUUACUUCCCAACAUAUGACAAGCGACCUCUGCCAAAUUUUUGUGACACGAUUUUGAAACAAAGGUGGCAGCAUAGAAACUUUCAUUCCUCCGAAAAGAGAUCAUUUUAGUGAUUGAAUCCACGAAAAUUACGAUUCAUGCAAAAAAACCAAAUUUAAGAAGAUCAAAUUGCCAUAUAUAGUUCAUAAAGAUUAAGGAACUUCAGGUGUGUUAAUUCACAAUUUAUAUAUACACAUAGUACAAGAAAAAUGGAAUCACGAUCUGCAAUUUGUGACUGGAUUUUGCUACUUUGGUUGAGUAAAUAAACCAAGCGGUAAAGAGAAGAAAAUUUUAACUUUGUUAGUCCAAUAUUCGUGCAGUGCAUUGUGCAUCAAGUUUAGUAGAAAAUGAGAGCAAAAUGUACCUUGGAACUGAGGCAGUAUUUGGUCCUCUCAUUUCCAGGAAAACUAUCAGAGACCAAGUAUGUGCCCUGUCCCAAAAUCCUUACUCCUUCUUCAGCAGUGUAAGAAACCAGAUCUCCAGACCUCACAACCUUCAUCAAAUCCAAGUGACUAUUAUCAUUAUGUUUUGCUAACAAGAUCUUGAUUCUAUGUGCAAUGCACACUUGCUAGAGCAGCAAAUUUUCAAAAAGUACACAUAUCAGCUACCUCAGUGACAGCAUCUUUUGCUGGUUUUGCAAUCUCCUUUACUAGACAUUCUGCAAUUGGCGCUUUGUGCUCUUUGAGAAUAGCAGCGGCCUUGUGAAGCAGCUCUGCGCGCUUCCAAAGUGGAGUUUUGGCCCAUAACUUUUGUGCAGCCUUAGCUAUUUCCAUUACCUUGUUAACCUCUUCUUGUGUACAUGCUGGUUGAAAAUUUCAUAUAUCGAGAAUCAGAGGCCAAAUCUAGCCCCAAUCAAGGUUGCUCAAAUAAACUCGACAAUGACAGUAGCAAUAGUUCAUCUUACAUAUAACCAAAUUUCUUGGCAAUCCCCUACCGUUUCUUAGAGAAAAAAGCAAGAAGAUGUGGGUAAUAGUUAUGAUGUUGGAACUGGUCAGUUAAACAAGGUUCAGCAUUUCUGAAAAGGUGGAAGAGAAUUUCUUCAUAUCGAUUUAUCAAAAAUAACAAGAGUCCUUGUAUCCAACUGGAGUCAAAUUCGCUGGAUAAUGCCGAGAAAUUUCACAUAACAUGUAGUACUAAAACAAAGAAACCGUUUGACUUUUAAUUGUACAGUGAUCUCUUCAAGCAAGAGCUGCAAAAACCCUGUAAAAUUAUAGCUGGUGGGCCAAUUCUACAAUCAAAUAGUUCUACAGGCUACAGUACAAGUAGAAACCCAAAAGAAUCAAAGGCCAUCAUCAUCAAUUUCAAGUCAGACAUGCAUAACAAAAGUAAUACCUUGUACUUUGUACUGAGUUUUUCGCGUAGUUGGAUUAAUGAUGGAAACAGAUUUCCCAGAAGCAGACUUCUUCCACUCCCCUUCAAAGUAGUACUUGAACUCAUCUCCAUCAGUAAUCUCAGCAAAAACUCCACCCAGCCAUUGCUAAUUUAGACACUAAACUGCUUUUCCUCUCAAGACUGAUCAACCCUCUGAGGGAAAUAUUUAGCUUCAAAGCUCAGAGAAACAGAAUCAGGUUGUUUCUUCUGCUGCCCUGGGAGUAGCUACCUAACGAGUGAUGAUCACUGGUGUGUAUUUGGAGGUGGGGACCUAUAAAUAGAGGAAAAUGGUUAGCCACAUUUGGGCUUCAGGGAAUUCUGAGGCAUAGAUUUCUUGUUCUCUCGGAUUUUGACUUCAGCUUUUUGGACCAACUGGAUCGUGGCAGCUGUGGAGACAAAGAAAAAAAGAAAAAAGAAAAAGCCAAACCUUGGUUGAUGACUAAUCACUUUGAUAUUCAGCUCCGAGCCGUUGGAAAUUAAAUGUUAGUUGGCCACGUUUUUACUUGGUGUAUCCACCACAUGCAUUCAAAAUUUUUUUUUUUGGGUAAUAAUUUUGGGGAUUAAUUACUACCAUAAUGUUCUACACUUACUAGGUUGAUAUGAUAUAUUGCACAACACGACGUGCAGGUGUUUUCACUUCUUCCAUUGGAUUCUUUUUUGGUUCUUGUCUAUCUUUUUUUUUCUUCUUCUUCUUCUAAAUUUAUGGUUCUUGUUUUGUUGAUUUUACUAGUGUUUUUUUGGUUUUGCUGGUUCAAUUAUGGUGUGAAUUAGAUAGAAUUGUGAAGGUGAAAUUACCAUCUGUCGGAAUUUGGACCAGACGACCAAAUUUUGAAACAAUCGAAUCUAAAUCAGUGGAAGUUGGCCAUAACUCUGUAACCAAGAAUUUGACAAAUACAGAUGAAAUAGUCUUGCUCUAGGUUCGAGGGAAUAACAAGUUGGAUGUUUCGGAGGAGCAAGUGUAAAUAAAAAAUUCGAAUUCAAGUUAUCUUGCUUACAUUUUAAAAAAUAAAAGUCUAGUUUUGGGUUUCAUCAAUUACAAGUUAAAUAUUUCAAUAGUAAAAAAAAAAGGUGAACAAGCGUCAAUUUUUAGUAAAAAACCAAAAGAAUGUGUGUAACACCGUACAAACACAAUUCAAUGAAAGGGUAUCAUAAGCUUGAUAUCAAUUCCUAAUAUACAAAGUUUUGAGAUGUUUAAGUUGAAUUAGUUAAACAUUUUCUCUCAAAAUUAAGGAUGGAGCCAAAAGUUAAGCAUUUUUCUUCAUCCAAUUGGCUUGAUGAAAUGCAAUUAUUUUACAUCAUAGACCCUUCCAAGUUCCAAAAACCAGAGAAAAUCAGAAUAAUUAAGCAACAAAUUUUGGUGAAAAAGAUAGAAGAACCUUUUCUGGAGCUCGAGCAAAAAGUGAUGGUAGCAAGAACCCUUUUUUUUUUUCUUCCUUAGCAUGAAUCAAGACAAAUUUUAAGAACUUUUCCAAAUGCCUUUUUUUCCCCUUUUUUGAUAACUAUGGAUGUUCAUAAAUAUGUCAGCAGGAGCAGUCAACGGAAGUUGGAACCGUAUACAAUUCUUGUCCAGAUUAUGAAUAAAACUACAAGAGCAAUUCAAUCAAACAAACCCUAUCGGUUUCUGCAUGUUUCUAUAUCUUAUCUCCCUGCUACUGGGAAUGGGUAAUUCAACCAUGCUUCUCUUUCUUUCUCUUUUCUUUCCCAAGAAUAAAUGCUGUAACCAUUCUGUUUACGAAUAUUCUUUGUAUAUACUAGCGUGAUGGUUGAUCCUCCCCCAGUUUCCAUUGCAACGUUUUCAAUAUGUAACUUUCUUCUCAAAAGGAAGAGCUAGUAGAGAGUAGGGAGGCCAAAUGGACCAUUCUCUGCCAAAUCUGUCCUUCUCAUUUUGGAGCAUGAACUGAAGAAAAAGAACCCUCGAGGAGAUUUUCCCCUGUGGUCUUGGGUUUGGAAGGCCAAAGCAAAGUCCAAGAUUAAACAUUUUCUUUGGCUAGCUUGCCAAAGCAGACUGCCUUCUAAGCCAGUCCUCCUAGAGAGAAAUAUCACUGCUGACUCUUCUUGCCCUCGUUGCAACCAUCCCUGUGUAAGAUUCAGCACAUGUUCUUAGAUAUUGCUCCAUGCCUGACCCUUUUGGCAAAGCCUCAGCAUUCCUACCUACAUUGGUUGGUCAAUUGAUCUGGAUUUUACAUUUUGGCUUAAAAAUGGUUGCUUGUCAAAACAUAUUUCUCCUUUUUAUGGAAUCCCCUGGGGUACUUUUAUUUCUGUUGCCUGCUGGAAUCUUUGGAUUGCCAGAAACAAGGCUAUUUUUGAACCCUCUAACCCCUUCUCCAUCCUGCACAAUACUCUAGUAAUGGUGGCUGCAUACUCCUUUCUAGGACCUAUUCAGAGCUUAGCACCCUUAGAACUGAAGUGCUCAUUUUCUGGAUUCCCCCCAAACCUUCCUAUUUCAAAGUCAACACUGACGGUUCCUCCUUAGGGAAUUCGGUCCAGCGGGAUCAGGUGGCAUGAUCAGAAAUCACCUAGUCCACUGGGUAGCUGGCUUUAGCCGAAAAUUAGGCCAUGCUACUAAUGUCCUUGCCGAACUAUGGGGAACAAGGGAUGGGGAAUCCUUAGCUUCCUCUCUCAACUUGCAAAAUGUUGAACUAGAAGUUGAUGCUACAUCUGCUUUAGACUUGCUUAAAUCUGCUGAUAUCUCAACUCAUGAGCAUGCUUCAAUUAUCUCUGAUUCCCAAGUUUUUGAUCUCUGCUCUACCGAAAGUCACUCUUAGACAUGCUUACCGAGAAGCUAACAACUGUACAGACAAAUUGGCGAAACUGGAUUCUCAGCAAGAACGCAAAAUAGAACUUUCGUAUUCUAUGAAAGUGUCCCUCCCAAUUUAAGAAAACUAGAUGAAAAUAUUAAAGGAAUUUGCUUGCCUCGUUUUGUACCUAAUUCCUUUUCUUACCAAAAAUAAAAAAUUUUUUCUCCUAGCAUUGUCUCCACUUUCCAGUCAGAGGUAUGGAGCAGGUCAAUACCAAGCAACAGUACACUUUAUUACAGACUUUGAUUUGCAGAUUGAAAAUACUCCAUAAAUUCCAAGCUGCAGUUUCAAAUUUAAAAUAUCCAAGCUAUGUCCUCGGCACUAUUUUAAGAGUUUAGAGAAAUUAGUGCCUAUGUCUGAAGUGUCUUACUAGUUUUAAAUCAAUUGAGGAACACUUACAUUGUACCACUUGCAUCUUAAUUAACCAAUUAUUCUUGUUCAAAGCUAGAAUACUUAUCUUGACUACACAUGGUGAUGACUUAUGAUACAUAAAAUAAUAUGGUUCAAUGCUUAUAGUAAACAUCAAUCAUUUGAGCUUGUGACAUAUAAUUGGAUGGUCUGCGAAUUUAGAGUUUCAAAAUGAAAAAAAAAAAAAAAAGUUAUGAAGAACGGGCCAAGAGUUAUGAAAGAAGUGGCUUCAUGAUGGAGUAGCUGGAGGAUAAUUUGUGGCUUUGGCUAAGAGUCGGUGGGCUUCCCAACUCUUUGGGUGUGGUAGAGAUCGCCUUCUCUUUUAUCCUCUUCAGAACCACAAGUAUUGGUAGGAGUGGUGAUGAUCCGCCAAACCGUGCAAUCAUUUAGAAGCCCGUGUUUUACCAAAAGAUACAACAAACUGAUAUUCUUGUUUCUUUUUUUUUUAGCAACGAUACAUUUGUAUAACCUACUGUAUCUUAAAUCUAGGAAGAGGGGGAGGGGGAGCCUAAGGAAGCUGUGGUAGGGAACUAGUGGGUAUACAGACCCAAUUAGACCAAAGGAGUGCUCUGGCACAACUCUUAGAUUUUUUUCGCUACAGGUGAGAUUUUGAACCCUCACCUACAGCCCAAGGUUUGAUAUUCUUGUUUCAAACCACUUCGAUAUUUCCAAACCAAUUUACCACAAUCAAUUUCUGUUUUCACAACACUAGUAUUUUGGAGAUUGAAAAUGCCUUAGGAACUAAAUAACAUGACAAUAUAUAUAUAUAUAUAUAUUUUUUUCUUGUUACAACAAUUACUUUCUAACCUAUUUCUACACUGUGAGAAAAGGGGAAGGACUCAAUGGUUUGACAGGGGAGCAAAGAGGGGAGGAAGGCACCUUCAAUCCAAACUAAAGCAUUAAUUAGUGCACUAGUCAAGACAAAUUCCAAGAAAAUCCUAAGAAUAAUGCAGGCUACCUCAGAGGGACUCGAGUCCUUCGCGAUGGUCAGUAGAUCAAGGUCUCGGAAGACAAAAUGGACAGUACCCCUUAAAGAGCAGUGUUUAGUAUUAUUUAAUACCUAGAUUACCAAUAUGUGAAUUUUUUUGAAAAGGUUAUAUAUAAAUGUACAUCAAUUUUCAAUUUAAUUUCUCAAAAAAAAAAAAAAGUAAAAGUUCGACUAUAUAGAGUAGGAAUUCAUUCAGGAUAAAAGAUUACCUGACCAAAGCCCAUUAAAGCUUCAUCAAUCAUCAGUAAAUGCUUCACCGGAUUAAAUAGCACUGGACAUCAACUAAUAAUAAUAAAUGUUCCUUAGGCAAAUCCGUUAAAUUGUAGAUUUGUUAUUUCCAGUGCACGUUUAAUUUACCAUUAACAUAAUGACAUAAAUCAAAUUGUGCUGGAUGAUUUCUAAUUGUCCCUAAUAAAAUUUGCUUUUAUAAAAUGGAAAAGUCCUCUGGGGACAGCCAAAAAAUUACAUUUAUAGAGAAGAUUAGUUUAGUCCCUAUGCAAUUAUGACAGAAGAGAAAUAGUUUUACAAAAAUACCCAUUUCUCACGGGUGAUGUUACAAAAAUACCCAUUUCUGACUCCUCAUAAAAAUGGUACACUGCACAACUUGGCUUCCAUAGGGAUCUAUAAAGUGUAAUUACUUUUAAUUAAUUUAAAUGGGUUCUCUGUAUAAUUUUUUUUAUUUUUUAUCGGACUUUUUUUUCCCGAGUUUCUCAUCUAAGUUGAUGUGAUUAAAAUUAAAAAGAACAAAUUUUGUUUGAAUACUUGUUAAAAGAUUGAAGAUGUAAAGUGAAUUACUUUACCUCGCCCAUUAGCCCCCAAAUACCGUGUCAAUUUUGGAAAAUUGAAAUAGGUAACUUGAUUAUAAUCUUCAGAAAACCUAUCGGAAUUUGAUUAAUAUGUAUCAACUUCAUAAUUUUGUCCUGUACAUAAUAAGUCUACCUAUCUCGAUUGAAGAUUAUUUAGAGAGAAAAUUUUCUCUUUGAUGCAAGCAAGCGAUUAACAAAAAGAAAAAAAAGUGAUUGAAAAUAAUUUUUUUUUUUAAAAAAGUAAUAAGGAUGGGUGUUUUAAAAAUCUUAAAAGAAAAAUGCCAAAUAAUUGCUAUCCAAACAAACUCAAUAAUGUUAGAAAGUUUUCUAACGUUUUGAUUAAUCAAUAUGUGAAUUUCUUGACUACAUUCUCUACAUUAUUAAUAAGUGGAAAUUAAUUUCCAUCUACUUUCUCCAAAAUCUUUUUGACUACAAAUGUAAAAGAGUUACAAGUUCAUGAAAAUCACGGAUGUAACAAAGCCCAAAGUGGCGUCCCUUGGGAUGUAACUAAGGCCCAAAAGUGUCCCACAUCGACUAAAUAGCAGCUCCUUUAACUCUUUAAAUACACCAGCUCCGAAGGGAGCGAACGUCCCUUCGGGACAUCCGAUAAAAUUGGAACGAUACAGAGAAGAUUAGCAUGGCCCCUGCGCAAGGAUGACACGCACAAAUCGAGAAAUGGUCCAAAUUUUUUUUUACUAUACUGCCCAUACUCCUCACGUGUCUUUUACCGAAACACCCCCUCACUUGACGAUUCAAGGUCGGUGCACCAGGUCUCAAGUCCACCCGUAAUACAAGAUAGCCCCCUCCCCAAAUAUAAUAUAUAUCCUUGUAGUCGGAGAGUUUGGUGUUUAUUUCACGGUGGCGGGCGCCUGAAAUUCAUCCGGAGAGUUUCUUCGCAGGUACACUUUCUGUUUUCCAGCUCCGAUCAAUUUCUUGAAUAUUUUUGUGGUAAUACAAGCGAAUUCUGAUUUAUUUUUUGAAAAAAUGAUCACCAAAACUCAAAAAUUUCAAGUCUUUAUUCAAUCCCCUGAACUACAAAUCCAACCCAAGCUCUAAAUGUCGAAAACCCUAACCCUAAUUUCACUUUACAAGAUCUCAAAUCCUCUCUCUUCGCCAAAGCCCAUCAAAAUCUUAGCUCCCUUUACUUCACCUUGAAUGGUAAACCCCUCUCUGAUUCGACUAAGUUACCGAAUUCCCAAAUUGCUCCUCUUUCCACAUUAACACUUCGGUGCCGCCUUCUCGGUGGCGGUGGAGAUGGCGGCGCCACUGGGGCGGAAUCCGGGAUUGUUACCUUAACAUGUAUGCUACUAAAAAGCCCGAUAAAGUUGACCCGAAUGAGACGAGGCUGUCGAAAUGGCUGAAUUGUGCGAUUUCCAAUGAGCCGUUGAAGCGGCGCGGUUGUGAUCGAUAAGCUUGGGAAUUUGUUCAAUAAGGAGGCGUUAGUUGGGGCGUUGUUGAUGAAAAAGGUACCUAAGGAGUUUUGGUAUAUAAAAGGUUUGAAGGAUAUGAUCGCUGUCGAGUUGGAUGUGAUUCCUGGGUUGGAGGAUGAGAGAGGGAGUCGGACCGGGGCAAAGUUUCAGUGCCUAUAACGGGGUUGGAGUUCAAUGGGAAGUAUAAGUUUUCGCGUUGAGGUCAUGUGGACAUGUGCUGAGUGCGAAGGCAUUGAAGGAGGUUAAGUCGUCAGCAUGUUUGGUGUGUCAUAAGAGUUCUCUGAAAGUGAUAAGAUGCCGAUCAAUGGGAAUGAAGAGGAAGUGACGGUUUGAGAGAAAGAAUGGAAGCAGAAAGGGUUAAUAUAAAGGAUAAGAAGGUAAAGAAGGUGAAGACUGGGGUUUGGUGGCUAAUGGUGCUGAGGAUGGGUCAGUGGGAUUGCCAAGGUUGAGUGGGACAAAACGUGGAAUUGAUACUAAGGUACCUGACAAGGCUUCAGCCAAAGUGGAAGGAAAUUCCAAGCUCGUGUCGACUGGCAAAGUUGAGACGAAUGGAACAGCUAAGAGAUUCAAGGCUGUUGAUGCUGCCCCAGCUAAUGCCACGAAGGAAGUAUAUGCAUCUAUUUUUACUUCAUCAAGAAAGUCUGACUUCAAAGAGACGUUUACAUGCAGGUCACUGCCACUUGGGAGAAAUUAAUUGAGGUGGGAUUGUUAAGGUGAUCUUGUAGUGUUGUUUAGUUGCAUUGUAACCUGGGACUAUAUAUUGAUGAAGAAAAUGAAUUGUUUCCUCUGGUUAUUAGCUGCUGUGAUUUGCUAUACGGAAGCUUUCUGUUGAUGUAUCAUAUUAGCAGUGAUUGUACUGUGAGUAAUUACAUUGAUGACUUGCUUCCCUGAUUUAUGGAGUUAGAUCUGUUUCUUGUGGUAAUAUAUGUUUUCAUGAGAUGUCUCAAGUGCUUCCUUAUUUUCACAUUGUACAAUGAUCCAGCAGAUCAUUACGCUUUUCAACUUAGUUGAUGAAUAUAUACCUGAAAGAUUCUUUACUUCUAUACUGAUAAGAUUAAAAAUAAAAACUUGCAAACAUAAAUAAAAGAAAAAAAUGGUAACUGUGAAGAACGAAGACUUCUCAAUAUCUUGUAGCGACUGUGAUCUGAAGUCAUUUUCAGUCUGUAGUCAUGUGUUGUAGUUGGCAGCUGCCUGCAAGAUAUGAGAUAGGCAUUUAUAUCUGGCUAGCUCAUUGUAGCAUACUGAAUCAUUUUCUGAUAUGCUUACAUUUGAUGAAUUAUUGUGUUGAAGUUUUGUUAACAAUGAAUUGUGGAAGUCAAAUUUUUUUCUCCAUAAAUCAUUCUAUAAGUUUUAUAGAUUCUCCUAGCGCUUAAUAAUGCCAUUUACAGGAAGUCAAAAUUGUACAGCUGCCCAUCAUGAUAGUGGAAUUAGAUAUAAACAUGUAAUGAAUGUUCCAAGGCGUGGUGACCAAGUGGUGGAAAUUUGGAGGGUGUCAUGGGUAUUUAGUAGAGCUGUUUUUACCUUCUCUGAGUUGUACGUUUACUUGCUUUUUUCCUUGCAAAAGUUAGACAUUACCUUAAUUUUUUGAAUCAUGUGAUAUAUUGCUCAGCAAAUGAUUAUUAAUCAAGAUAAAAGAGGAAGUUUAUGGCCGACUGGGCAGAAUUAUUGGUUAGAACAUGAGACGUAAUCUCUAUUUUUCUUUGUUCUGGGUUGUGAGCUUAACAUCCCGUGCUAGCUUCUCGUGAGGCUAUUAGCCAACUAGUACUCAGAACAGGAGUUUUGCCAAGUUAACUUUAGAAGAUAAACAGGUGUUUUGCUUUCCAAAAUGGCUUGUUAAUCUUGUUCCCCUUUUCACAGUCUCUGAGCUUCAAUUCAAAGGGUAACUGCUUUGAAGCUCACUGUUCGUUGUAGUAGAUUUAGGUUCACCAUAUGCAGAAGGCAAGUAUGGAUUGCAUGUGCAGAAGCAUUUUGGCAGUUCUGGUCUCUGCUGCUGGAUUGCCGCUGCCAUCAGCGCAUUAUUCAUCGCUAUAGUUGCCAUCCAUCAAUGGCAUUUGUCCCACCGCUACCAUCAUUAUAUUAAGCUACUCGUGCCCGAUUUUUUUAAAUUAAUCUCUUCAUUUGCUUGAUUUGAAAAGUUUUGAAUAUAACGUGUCAUGUAAGUGGUGAAUUUCAACUUUCAGACCACAAUUGAAAUAAUUGAGGCUACAGAAUGCAAAAGAAAAAGAUUGAGUUCCUUUUUAAUCUCUCUAUGUAGACUCUUAUGUUAUGUAGACUCUUAUGUUUGUAUCCCAGAAUAUGGUAAAUCUUUCCUUUUACUCCAAUCAAAUGGUGGCUUUUGCUAACUUUUUUUUUUUUUUGGGCCUUUUAAUGGUCUAUGUUUUUUUUUAUUCAUUAGUCAUCUAAAGAUCAAUGGUUCUUGAAUGAAGAGAUGGCGUGAAAAAAAAAAUGGGAAUAAGCUGGGAGAAGGAGAAAGAAGGAAGAAAGAAGACAAAGGAAAAUCAAAAUUAAGAUUACGAAGGAGAUUUAUUAUAAUUAACCCUCACUUAAAAUAUUAGAAUCCCAUCUCAACUAGUUGGAAGAAAGAAUGUCAGACAAAAAUUACCUGUCUCACAGGAAUGAGCUUUCUAUCUACCAUUCUGCUGAAACAAACUAAUCCGUUUGGAUUAGCUGUUUUUUAGGGUAUUUUUGAAAUAUUUUAUUGUAACAAUGUAGUUGAAAAACUUUUACGUAGAUGAGUUUUUUUUAGGUUAUUUUUUGUAUUUUGUAUUUUUUAAGGUUUUUUUUUAUAUUUUUGUAUUUUUAAGUUGUCUUUGAUAUUUUUAAGUUAUUUUUGUUUGUGUAUUAAUGUAGCAUUGUAAAUUGCAAUUGAAAAACUUGUUUUUCAAAAAAUGAUCAAUCCAAAUGGAUUGAAGAAUUAACUGAAGCUUGGUUUAAUCUACAAGAGUUGUAUUUACGCAAGUUUAGACUUGGCAUUUGAAAAAUAAUAAAAUUAAAUCCCUCUCGAAGUGGAUCUUUGAAGAUAUCCUGGCUUGUUAUUCAAAGAAUAAAAGGUUUCUACUGAAUUUCUACUUUCCGUUUGUACUCAGAACAGCCAAAGUACCGUGGAACCUGAAAGGAUCUCUUUUGAUUCGUAAAGUACUAUAGGGUGGGGAAAAAAAUAACAUGGAGCACCGUUGCUCUCGUUGAGAGUCGAACUCAAGACCUCCCGCUUACUAAACGAGUGCUCUAACCAACUGAGCUACGAGAGCUUGUUGCAGUGCCUUCGCGUUCUUAUAAUGGUAGUAGAAUACAAGAAAUUCGUAUAUCCAACCAAAUAGUGAUCAAUUAAGUAAAAGAUAAAAUUUUCAUUUUUACAACAAGUGAAUCUUUUAUUUUAAUAAAUAAUUGAACUCUUUUAAUUUAUACUUCGAACUAGGGUCAAUACUAAAAUUCAAACUUCAACUAAAUAAAUUAUCUUCUCUAAAAAUUGGACACCAAGCAUGUUCAUGCCAGCAUAUGAGCACUAGUACAAAUUACUCAGUACUAUAUCAGAUGGACAUUUAAAAUUCUAAAUGGACAAGAUGUAAUAUUUUUUAAAAAAAAAUAAAAAAUAAAAACUUGGUUACUUUGCUUAUGAAUUCAUUGCUUUUCUUUUUUCUUUUAAGUACUUUUUAUGUAUCUUAAAUUCUGUGAUGGUAGACAUACUUGACAAAGACUAAAAGCUCAUAGCAGUUAAAAAUUUGAAGUCCUUAGCACUGAAAUUCAUAUUACAUCAAUUCAUAUGUUCUCAUUAAACUGCAGUUAGAUAAACAUUUUCUUUGUUUUAAAUUUAAUCAUAACAUUUCCUUAGAUAUAGAUAGUUCGAACCAUGAUAUUAUAAAGCAGAAAAAAAUUUACUUUGUUUUUUAAUCAUGCUAAUUAGUGGUUGUUUCUACUGGUUAUCCUCGCUAUCCAUUAAAUCAUUUCUUUUCUUUGUCUUGCGUCAUAAAGACAAAUGCAGAUAAGGGAUUUGGCAUUAUAUUUUUAAAACUUUUGUCUCGUCUUGAAAUUUUUCUUCAUGAGAAACAUUCUGAUUCCUGAAGUUGUGAUUGAGCCAGUUUUUAAACUCUGGCAAUCUAAAUUGAAGAUUACACUUCGAUGUCCAAUUACGCAAUUAUUCAUGGGAUUAGCAGUUAAUUCGUAAAAUUAAAUGUUUUGCAAGUGCAUGGCCAAAAUAGCCUUUAUGUAUUUCUUUAGCUAAUUAACUCCUCCGAAUCUUAGGACCAUGAAAAGCUAGGGUUAAUUGCACUUGACCCUCGUCAAUAUUACCCAAGUUGCACGUUAUCCUCUUGAAUUUUUUUAGGGACUUAAACUAUUUCUACAAACUCAAUUAUUUUUUCUUUUCUUUCCUAUUCGUUUUUUUCAAAAUUUUCAUCUCUUCCCUCUUAUUUUUCUUUUUCCUUUCAUUCUUUUUCAGCAUUACAAUAUUAUAUUUAGUGCACUCAUUGUUAAAAUUUGUAUAGCAUAUUUUAAUAAAAAAUUUAUAGAGUUUUAGUUACUUAGAUGCACUAAUUGUGAUUUUUUUUAAUAAAUAGUGCAUUUAAAAAUUCUAUUUUGAAAAUAAAAAGCUACCACCAACUUUAUCAUUUUAGCUUGUUUAACUUUAUACUUUUAGAUAUAGUUAAUUUCCAAUUUUAAUAAUCCAUAAGAAGCUUUAUCAUAAGCCCAUUUGAUCUAAGAAAUUAAAUUAUUCAAACACAUAUAAACAAAGUGGAACUCUUAAUUAACAAAUUUUUUAAAAAAUAUAAAAAAUAAAUAAUUCAACUAUAUUCUUCUUCUUUUAAAGGAGUUAAUAGUAAUAAUUUGUUAACACAUAUUUCCUACUUGCUCUACUACUCUAGUAUGUUUAUUAUUACUAACUAAGUAACUAUGAACUCUAAUUAGUUUAUAUGUCCUUAAAGUAUUGAAUCGUAUAGUAUAUAUGCUGUGCAAUUUAACACGCAUAUAUUUUGUUAUUGUAUAGAGUUGAUGAUGAAUUUAUUAAAAGUGAAAUGUAACAAAUAAACAAAUGGGAGUGGGGGAGGGAUGAGUUUGGUGGUAUGUGGGGGGUAAGUGUAAGUGAGAGGUUUCGGGUUCGAGACCUUCCACUUACAUAAAAAAACUAUAAUCGGAGAAAAUGUUUUAAAAGAAAAUUAAAAUAUUUAGCAUAAAUAUUUUAUUAACAGAUAGACAAAAGUGCCUAAUAGUGUUAGAGAGCAAGGAAAUAGAAAAAAUUUAAAAAAGGAAAAGGAAAAGUGAAAAACAAAAAAAAAGUAAAAAUAAAAAUAAUUAAGAUGGCAGGGAUGAUUUUGUCCAAAUACAUCAUGAGAGGGUUAAGCGCCUACAAAGCAAGUUGAAAAAUAGAGUGCAACUGGAAUAAUAGUUGGAGAGGGUUUAGUACAAUUAUCAUAAAAAAAUUGGAUUAUUUGUAUUAACCUCCAAUGAGGUUUCGUCAAAUUAUAGAUUAGGCCCUACUGUUUGAUGAUAUUGCGAAAAGCUCCUCUAUCCUGAGAGAUGUGUAACAUAUACGCCAAACGUUGACUACCAUAUUCUAAUGACAUCAGCAAGAUUAUUCUCCCAAAAGUCCCGAAAUACCCCACACGUUGGACUUUCUCUUUUUUCCCUAGUAAUGCUCAACAGCCAAACAAUUCCAGUAUCGCUAUAAAAAAACUUAGGUGUAUCACUAAAGUAAAUCAUUACUCCGACCAUAUUUAUAACCUCAAAAGUAUUGAAGUGUAGGAAAAUUAAUAAUAUCAAAUCUAGUCAGCUAAACAUUCUCAGUAGUCAUUGGCUCCGUUUGGAUUAGCUGUUUUUUGGGUUGUUUUUCAAAAACACCACUGUAGCAUUUCGAAUCUGAAAAACAAGUCCGUUUGGAUUAGUUGUUUUUGGGGUUGUUUUUCAAAAACUAUAUGAAAAACUUUUACUGUAGAUUUUUUUGGAUUAUUUUUAGAGGUAUUUUUGAAACAUAUUUUUGAGUAUUUUUAGAAUAUUAUAAUUUUUAUAUUUUUAUAUAAAUAUACAUUUAUGCAUUUAUAAUACAUUUAUAUUUACAAAUGUAUAAAUGUAUAUUAUUAUAAAUUAUAAAUUAUAAAUGAAUAUUAUAUAAAUGUAUAAAUGUAUAAAUUAUAAUUUUUAUAUAAAUAUACAUUUAUGCAUUUAUAAUACAUUUAUAAAUAAAUAUAUUUAUAUAUUCAUAUAAAAAUAUAUAAAUGUAUUAUAUUCUAUAUAAUACAUAAUAUAAAUAUAUUUAUAAAUGUAUAAGUGUAUAUUAUUAUAAAUGUAUAAAUUAUAAAUAUAUUAUAAAUUAUAAGUGUAUAUUAUUAUAAAUUAAUAAAUUAAUAUAUUAUAAAUAUAUAUUAAUAUUAUGUAGAAAUGUAUUUAUAUAAUUAAUAUAAAUGUAUAUAUGCAUUAAUAUUAUGUAUAAAUGUAAAAUUAAUAUUAUGUAUAUUAAUAUAAAUGUAUAAAUGUAUUAUAUUAUAUAUAAUACAUAAUAUAAAUAUAUAUUUAAAUGUAUAAGUGUAUGUUAUUAAAAAUGUAUAAAUUAUAAAUGAAUAUUAUAUAAAUUUAUAAAUUAAUAUAUUAUAAAUAUGUUUUAAUAUUAUGUUUAAAUGUAUUAAUAUAAUUAAUAUAAAUGUAUACAUGUAUUAAUAUUAUGUAUAAAUGUAAAAUUAAUAUUAUGUAUAUUAAUAUAAAUGUAUAAAUGUAUUAUAUUAUAUAUAAUAUAUAAUAUAAAUGUAUAUUAUAAAUAUACAUAAAUAUUUAUAUAUUAUGUAUAAAUGUACAUUUAUAUAAAUGUAUAAUAUAUUAUAUAUUAUAUUAUAUAUAAUUUAUAUAACAUAUAAUAUUUAUGUAAAUAUAUUAUAAAUAUAUAAAAUAUAUUUUAAAUAAAAUAAAAUAUUUAUGAUAUGUAUAUGUAAAUAUAUAAUAUUAGAAAUGUAUAAUAUAUAUAAUAUACAUUAAUAUUAAUAUAAUUUAUAUAUAAUAUACAUAAUUGAAAUAUACAUAUUAAUAUAUAUUAUAAAACAAAAUUGCAUAAAUAUAUUUAUAAAUUUAUAUAUAAAUAAAUGUAUUUAUAUAAAUAUAUAAUAUUUAUUUCAAUUGACAUAAUAUAUAUAAUAUUAUACAUAAUUGAAAUAAAUAUAUUUAUAUUAAUAUAAUAUAUAUAUAUAUAAUAUACAUAAUUGAAUAUACAUAUUAAAAUACAUAAUUGAAAUAUACAUAUUAAAAUAUAUAAUUAAAAUAUAUUAAAAUAUAAUUGAAAUAUACAUAUAAAAUACAUAAUUAAAAUAUACAAAUUGAAAUAUACUUAUUAAAAUAUACAAAUUAAAUAUGCAUAAUUGAAAUAUAUUUGGAGUUGUUUUUGAUAUAUUGUUUGGAUUGGUGUUUUUGAAGUUGUUUUUGAAAUACACAUUUACUGUAGCAUUUGAAAUGUGAAAAAUAGUUUUUCAAAAACACCAAUCCAAACGUACCCUAUAUCUUUUUAUUCUUGAAAGUAUAAAUACGAACUUAUUUCUUCUCGCCUCAAGAUCUUCUUAAUCUUUUUUGAUUGCUUAUUCGCAGUUCUUCUAUAUUUUCCUCAAAUUCUCACAAUGAAAAGUCGUUACACGGACAAAAUUGAACAAUGAGUUAUGCUUGAACAAAUAGACAUGGGGUUCUUAGACAUCAAUUGCAUUGCCAAUAAGAUGAUAUAAAUAAAAGUUUGUUGUGUUUUACAUUGUAAAGGGUGAUGGUGGGGCGGUUUAGAGUGGAAAAGUAAUGGCCCAAAGGCAAUCCAUUGAGGUUUAGGCAAAGGAAUUAAGGCAUUUUUGAUAAAUAAUUCUUAAAUGAGAGGGAAGAACAAAGAGAUUUAAGGCUUGGAGCAGAUAGAGGAUUAGGGAGAAUUGCUGAGGAGAGAGUUUGGAAGAGAGAAAACGAACUACAACAAGAUUGAGAGGGGUUACCAAUAGUGGCGAGUGCUUUUAUUCCAAAUUUUGCUUCUUUUCUUUUGCUAAUUUUUGGAGAUUUUGGCAAAAAUAGUCUUUUUCUAGAUUUCCACCUUUUUAUUCCCUUAUUUGGAUCUCUUGUUAGUUUUGUGAUGAUUGUGGACGAUUUUCCUCAGUAUAUUAUUUAUGCUUCUAAACUUUUUUUAUUUUAAUAUUGUGAUCUUUAACAGGAAAAAUUGAGCUUUUCGUACAAAGGGUACUUCUAUAAUUUCAUUGGUUCCGUUUGUUGGCAGGCGUUGUUAGUGAUAGGGGGCUGACAGUCAUAUAACUAAACCACAAGGCUUGAUUUGUAUUAUGGACAAAUCUCAAGGAAGGCAGAUAUAAUUAACCCAGAAAAACUAGGUCAAAUAGUUGUCAAUGUCAUUUGAACCAAUUAAUUGACUUCACAAAACCAGGAAAAGCGAAGAAGAAAAUUGCUCACAUCAAAAUGCAUGAUGCCAUUAAGAUCAAAUUACAUUUUUCAAAGCAAAACGACUUACAUUAGAAUUCUUAGACUAUGAGGUUAAUACUACUAUAUGCUGAGUAGUAUUAAAAUGACUAGCGUUCACUUUCAUGUGUGACUAUCUUUUUGAAUAAAGUUCCAAAAUUACCUAAGACCUCGGCAAUUGCAUUAAAGGCUCUUGAUAAUGCACAGGAUGUACUAUAAAAUUCCUUCUAGAUUUGACGAGGAUAAACUUAAGAGAACCUUUACCUCCAUUCUAGCAAUUCCAUAUAUUGGAUCACUAUGUAAUAAAUAACUCAUGAAUCAGUAGUAGUGAGAGGUGUUGAAAUACAAGUGAUAAGUGGGAGGUCUCAAACUUGAGAGGCAUUUGGUUCGAGAUCUCCUAUUUCUACUUACAUUUUGACACGUUUUAUGUAUAUUCUUUUUUCUUGAUACCACCAACUCAUCCUUUCUCCCUUCAAAAUUAUUAUAUUGGAAGGUGAGUUUUUUGGAUGUUUGUCUAAAACUUUAUUGUAGAUUACUGUAAAAGUUUUUUAAAAAUUUUUUUGAAAUGUGUUUUUUUAUAAAAUAUUUUGAAGUGUAUAGUUUAAAAAUUUUGAAAAUUUUUUUGAAAUUACUAUAGUUAAAGUUUUUUAAAAACUUGUAGCACACAAACUUGGCAAAAAACUUGGCUUCCAAACAAUAUGCUAUUGUUAUCUUAGAGAAGCGAAAUGAUAUGAUUGAAAAUUUUAGAAACUUCUUACCAAAAAAAAAAAAAAAAAAAUUUUAGAAACUGAUACGAAACCAAAAGGUUUGAUGGUGUAAAACGCAAAUUUCUGAUAUUUGGUUUCUAGAAGCGCCUGAUCUGCGCCUCGAUAUAUACCCGACUUCACUAUCAAGCGCCCACUUUCCUGCCCCACUUUCCUGUUCACCUGAAUAAACUUUCACUUUGUAAAAUGCUCUUACAAUGUGAGAGCUAAGGGGACUUCCGAAGGCCCAUUUCGAUUUUUCUGUCAAUUUUGCCUUCCCUUUUUUAAAAUUGAAACCUAGCUCUCAUUCGUCCUCAAAAAUCCCCAAUUUUAUUUCGUGAAUCAAAGUUGAGCCGCCUACAUACUUUCAAAAUAGCGCAAAAUUUUUAUCAACCCAAAACCCAGAAGAAUCCAUCCCUUCUGAACCAUACAAAGUUCGAAACUUUAAGGUCAGAUCUAUUUCUUGUUGCAUGUUUUUCAAUUCCAGCCCUUAGUUUAACUUGAUUUCUGUAUUUUUGUGAGGUUCUAUUUUCCGGGUUCUGUUCGAUUUUGUUGAUAAGGGCUUGUUUGGAUUUGUUAUUUUGUUGGUGUUUGCAGAUUUAGGGUCUUGGGUUUGUUGUACUGGGUUUUGUGGGUUUUGGCAAUUUCCUACAAAUUUGAUGAGAAAAUGACCGUGUUGCCCAGCCAUGAUUCAAUUCAUAUAAGGGAAGUUUGGAAUGACAACCUUGAGGAUGAGUUUGCACUGAUCAGGGAAAUUGUUGAUGAUUACCCUUAUAUAGCUAUGGAUACUGAGUUUCCUGGCGUUGUUCUUCGUCCUUUAGGGGAUUAUAAGAACUUCACUGAUUUUCAUUUUAAAACCUUGAAGGCUAAUGUGGACCUUCUCAAGUUGAUUCAGUUGGGCCUCACGUUUUCUGAUGAGAAAGGAAAUCUUCCCACCUGUGGAACUGGUAAGUACUGCGUCUGGCAAUUCAAUUUCCGGGAGUUUAAUCCCAAUGAGGAUGUCUAUGCUCAUGACUCCAUCGAGCUUCUGAGGCGAAGUGGAUUUGACUUCAAGAAGAAUGUUGAUAACGGUGUUGAUGCUUAUCGGUUCAGUGAGCUCCUGAUGUCGUCUGGGAUUGUGUUGAAUGAUAGUGUCAGCUGGGUUGCCUUUCACAGUGGAUAUGAUUUUGGGUACUUGCUGAAGAUCCUGACGUGCCAGAACCUGCCUGAAACUCAGGAGGGUUUUUUCAAAUUGAUCAAGAUGUAUUUUCCAACUGUUUAUGAUAUCAAGCAUAUGAUGAGGUUCUGCAAUCACCUCCAUGGUGGAUUAAACAAGCUUGCUGAGCUGUUGGAAGUGGAAAGAGUUGGUAUCUGCCAUCAGGCUGGUUCAGAUAGUUUGCUUACUUGUUGUACAUUUAUGAAGUUGAAAGAGAGUUUCUUUCAUGGGACAACUGAGAAGUAUGCAGGUGUAUUGUAUGGUCUUGGUGUUGACAAUGGACCUAAUAGUACUUGAAAGAAAAGAAUAUCAACUCAUAAAUAACUAAAUAAAAAGCUAUUUUCUCGUGAAUGGAUGCCUACUCCUUUUGCUGUCCUCUGUGUGUUCUUGUUUCAUUAUUCUUAGAAGACCAGUGUUCAUCUUCAUUGAUAGUCAUUUUUUCUUUCUAAUUUUGGUGUUCUUGGACACAGUUGACUUGAAUAGGAAUCCUUUCAAGUAUUUUCCUUCGUAAAGCAUGCCUCUGCAUUCUUAUGGUACUCCAUUUGUCAUUAGAAAAAGCCCAGGGAAAAAAAAUGCAAAAACUAAAAGCAUGUGUGUUUUUUACCUGUAACGAUAUGAAUACGGCAAGUUAAGCAGUGACAGAGAUUAUGUGAGCAGAAGGCCUAACUAGUUGCUCUUGUGUCUUAAUUGUGCCUGAUUGGCCUCUCAUGUAGUCAGCAAAACCUGAUGAAAAAUACUAAACAUGAAUAUGUUUCCCGAAGUAUGUAAUUGUCAUUCUAGUCUGCCCACUACUGUCUAGGUUCUACGCUAGUGAUCCUUAUUAGAGUUUAGAAUUUGAUAUGGGUAUUGCAAAAUUUUCGUCCUUUUGAGCUUGGUUACUUCGUUAGGAUCAGGUCAUGGCUAGGGUUUCAUUAAUUUAUGAAGAUUCUGUAGAUUAUUUAAGAGAUUUGGCGUGGUGGUGGAUGCUACUAUUCUUGUUCAUUAUUAUCACCUGCAGCCAAGCGAAAGCUCUCUCUUUUACCAGAUUUGCUGGAGCUCAAAAGAAGCUGAUUUAGAAAAAAGAUAUUUUCUUCCAUCUCAUUGGCCUUACAAGGAUCAGCCGUCAUUAUGUCUUUGUACUCUGAAGAAUUUUCUUAUAUUAUGUUCUUUUGGAUAAUCUUGCCAUGUCAUCAUAAUUUGAUUUGUGAAAGAUGGUAAACUAUCUAUAAACCUGAUGGCAAGUGAAAUUCGCCAAGCUGGUUUCUUUUUUUGGUCAUUUAAUUUUUCUGCCUAUUAAGUUAUGGAUAUAGAAUUACUGCCGUCCCUCUCCCUCCCUCCAUCUGUCUCACUCUCUUUAAUGUACUUCUUCUUGUGAUGUUGUUAAUGCUAGUUACCGUAUUUGUCAACUAGAAAAUUUGAGAGCUUGCUUUCUUCCAGAUGUUAAUAAUGGAGGAAGGUAAGAAGCUAACAUCAUAAUGUGCAACAGAUGGCAUUAGGGCUUUAUUUUGUUCAGAGAGAUAUCGAUUGAAAACAAGAUAAGCAACUAGAAAUAAAGAUGUAUCGAAAUAAUUGCAAUUGCCUUUAAACAGGUUCUGAGCCCAUCUUGUUCUUUAUGCUUAGAGUCACCUAUGAUUAAUACAGGUGGAAUUUAUAUUUUCUGAGAUCUAAAAUCAGAAAUCUCUCAAUCUUACGGGCUAUGUAGUUCUCUUGUUAGCAUGGGGCAAUUGUGCAUUGUCCUUUGCUGAAAGUAUAAAAAACGUAGGAUAUGACACAUUUCCAUGGAGGCUGAAGAGAAGAGAGACAAGGUAAAAUGUGGAGGGCUUACAUAGGCCCACAAUAGUUGCAAUCCACAAGUGUCUAUGACAUCUGAAAGUCGUGGGAGUGUCAUGGUAGAAGUUCUUGCUUUUGCACAGGUUUGUUUAGAUGUUGUCAAGUACUGAUAGCACUGUAGGUUUCUUCUCAUAACCUAAUUUUUCUGGAUUUGCCAAUUUGACCAGGCAUAUAAAGUUUCUCUGAACAAGAUUACCGGUCUCACCUGUCACUCUGAUCAGGUUAAGAGUCAUUUACAAGAUGGCUGACUCUUUGUUCUGAGGUGUGGAUCAAUGAAUAUGAUGUUUGCAACUUUUGGUAUUUUCUGUUUUUGAGGUUCAUUAAGCAUCAUCUUUUCGUAGAAUAGUAUUCAUUUAAGUGCCAGUUUUAGGUCAAUUCAUUAAGUUUGCCUAAUGAGACAUGGGGAAGCACGGGGGAGGCCAAGAAUGGCAGGAAAAAAAAUCCGCUUUUUGGUUUUGGUAAUACAGGCGCAAAUAAAUGUGCCAUUGUGCUUAAUUUGAGAUUGUUUUUGCUACUUCUAUGCUCUAUUUUUUUUGCUUCUGGAUAAAUUUUUUUCUUACACACACGUUGGGAACAUGCUGAGAGAUCUUUCUGACUUUGUAGCUUCCAAGUUACCAUUUCCUUGAACAAUAAAUCAGGUUUUCAGUUCAAAUAUUAUAAAAAUUAGCUUUUAAUAAUCAUUUGGUUUUCUAGACAUUAGGUUAUCACACUUUCUUUUCUCUUUGGGUUUGUCUUUCCAUGCAGCUUUGUAGUUCCAAGUUUUCCCAACUUCUGGUGGAUGUUUGCAUCUCUUGCUGGUUGACAACGAGCUUGAGGAAUCCACUAAAAGGUCCGAGGAGUAUCUGUCUUGGUUUGAUCAGAUAUACUUGACAAGCCAGAGUUUGGAAUGUUUUUCUGGAUCUUCAUUUUUUAUGUUGACAAGAGAGCAAUCAUUUGUCAUUCUUGGUUAAACUUCAAUUUGCAUAUUGGUGAGUGGUGGAAUUUCAGGGGAGGCAUAUCUAGUUGUGCUUGUGACCUAAAGAUGUGAAAUAUUUAUUGCUUGUAAUAACCCCUUAUUAGCCAAUCUUGGAGCCAGCAAAAUUUAAAGAAAAAUGAUAGACAUGGUUUUUCUGCAGAGAUUGCAGUGCUAGCAUUGUAAGAUACUUAACAAGUUAUGCAGAAGCGUCUAACCUGUGCUGAAAACAGAUCCCAUGGUACUUAAGAUGAUGCUGUUGCAUGGACUUCUCAUGCUAUUUUGACCUCUAGUAUUCUGAUUUUACCUUUUUCCUGUGUUUUCAGAAUCUUACAAGUUAUCCUUUUUCUAUUCCAAGCUUUGAUACUUGGUUAAGCAUGAAGUUAGUCUAAGGUUUCAUUACUUCAUGAUUUUUAUUUUUUUCCAGUGUGGAGUUGGGGUGGUAUUUCAAUUUGCUGCAUCAAGGGGAUAACUUUUCUCCACCAGUAUUCCUUGAUCUUUUGUCCAUAAUUUAUCAUCCUUUAUUCUUCCCCCAAGCACCACUUGGCAGCCUCAGCUGCACUGUGGAGCUCAAAAUAUAGUGGACCUGUUUUAAGAUGUGUUUUCUUCCAUUUCAUUGACAAUAUGAGGACCAGUCAUACUUGAAUUUUAUAUGAAGAAUUUCAAAAAAUUUCUUCCUUUUAUGCUGUUUGUGUUGACAUUUCGCUUCAUAACAAUUUGAUUUUGGAGUGAUAGUAAAUGCUUUGACAAGAGAUGGUGCCUAGGUUUAGCAUAAACCAGGUUGCAAGCAAAACUUGCAAAGCUGACUUCUGUCUUUAUUCAUUUAACUUUAUUUUCGAAUUAAUUAUGGACAAAUCAUUUCCUGCCUCCACCUGAUGGUGCCCUCUUGAUUUUCUUUUGAGUUCAUUAAAAUACUAAUUUCCAUACUUGUUAGUGAGAAGAAGUUUAAGAGCCUGCUUUCUUUCAGAGGUAGAUAUUGGUGAGGGAGAAUAACAAAGAAGUUGACUUUGUGAGAGUAAUCAAGAGAUGUUUGCAUUCAUGCCCAUCUUCACCACCAUCCCAUUCCUGGCUUGAUACCAUGUGUUAAACAUGUUUUGGAUGACAUUCUGAACUGCUGAUUGGAGCUUGUGUUUAGGAUGGUUUAAGCGUCCUUACCUCCUUUUUUAUCCUCUCUUCAUCUAAUACUUCCUGCAUGCUCAUCAUGCUUGUUGGUCAGUAGUACAUCAGAACUUUCCUUUAUAUAGCAAUGGUUUGUUUUGCUUCAUAAGACAUCAUGUGCAGGAACUCUCUCAUUUUAUAAACACCCAUAAAAUGUCUUUUGGACACUAUUUAGGGUUCUUGUACCAAUUGUUUUCUUUUCUGGCAUCAUGUAUUGUUCGCUUCCAAACCUCAUAGAGCACCUUAUUGAUCUGGAUGAUAUGCAUCGUGUCAGAGAAUAUGCAAGCCUAGAUAAAGUAGGUGUAGAAUACCUUGAUAGAGCAGAAGCUUUAACUUAGAUCGUUGGAUUUUAUUACAUUUUCUUUUCUCAACUAGGAAGAAGUUUAUUCAGCCAGAAUGAAGUUUGUCAAUGUGCUAGGUGCAUGAUUUUAUCUGUAUCCUGUAUCAAGGUACCAAGACCUUACCCAUGAAAAACGUAUCAAGUGCUUUACUUUAUUACUGAAGGGGAUUAAAGUUUUGAUUUUCUACGACAGUUGAACUCACAUUUAGCUAUGAUGAACUGACCUGAUGGGCCUUGAUGUUCACAGAACCAUCUUUCCCUGUAUGAAUAUGAAGCAAGCGCAAGUAUGAUGACACAUGGAAGAUUGUGCAGUCUCUAUUAUGAAUUAUUACUACAUUCCUGGCUUGCCAAGAGUGACAUGUCCCAGGUGUUUAGCAUUUGUUGUUCACGAACUCAUUUGACGUGUUAAGAGUGAGACAAACCCUGAGCAGACACAAAUUUUCAAUGAAAUUUAUUGAAAUAUGUCUAUAUGAUUGUGCUUGAAUACGUGUAAUCUACAAGUAUGAAACAACAAACUUUUGAAAAUUCAUUUACUUUGAAUGUUUGUUACAGAUUUGCAGCCUUGCAGGUAGUUAGAAUUGCUGAUUCAUCCCAGUUAAGGGCAAGAAUAUUGGUUUGCUACCCAUACAUAUCAACUCCAGAUGCAUAUUUUCGGGAAUUUGGCAUUCCAGAAGCUUCUCUGAACUUCCUGCAGCUCCGGACAGAGAGAGGAAGAGGGGUUCCUGCUUGGUGCUUGCUGAAUGUCCUGCGAAUUUCAUCUGCACGGAUUGCUUAUGCAUUGCUUAGUGGAUUUUUGGUUUCAAAUAGCAUGUCUUUUACCCGUUAAGUAGCCCUUUUUUAACCCAUUGUUCUGGAUUGCAUAAAUGUCAAAUUUCGCCUGAAAUGCUCACAUAUUCUUCUAUGAGAUUACGUGCAUCACUAGUGUGUCACCUUCCUUCGACACUUGAAGCUGGAGUUUGACGUUUCAUUUCGUUCAAACCGUGGAAUAGUUGCUGCGAUUAAACUUGUGUCUGUAAGAAAAUAAAGAAGGAAACAUCAUUUUUUGUCUUUGUGAUCUUUGAUUUCUGCAUUUUCUAAUCCAUGUUAUAGAAUUGACUGUUGAUGAUACCAAACAUUUUGUUAAAAGAAAGCCAAAGUAUUCAAUUCUCAUACAUUUAACUCAUCCUGGUUAAAAUGUAACUUCCUAUGUUGAUGUCCAUAAAUUUCCUCAAAAGAGCUUGCGAAUUGCAAAAGUCUCCACCAAUCAUCUUAAAAUGGCACUCUAAACCGGCUCCUAUGAUACUUUUGACAGGUACAGAUAUACUGCCAGGAAGGGCAGUAGGUAUGCAUCAUGGACCAUGAAAAUGCUAAUUUCAGUAAUCAAUUGACAGCUUUCACGAACUGCAAACUUCUUGGACUAUGAAAAUGCCAGUUUCUAAUAAUGAAAUGACACUUUCACGAUCUGCAACUUCUUAUUGAUUAAUGAACAUUGAAAAGUAAGUAUCAGCCCAAUCUUGCCUCUCUUCGUAGUACCUGGAAAAGAUGUAACACUCAACCAUAAGUGGCAGAAAGUACUCCAGGAGUCGCAAGAAAAAUUUCCAAAUCACCUUAGCAUCUAACUACAGCUCAUCCAUCAUUUAAUAUGUGCUCAAAACCCACAAAAUGAACAGGUCAAACAAGCUAGCCACUUAAUAAUAUGGGGAAUAUUUACGAAAAACUGCUUGAAAGUUUAUCUAGUCUAGGUGGCAGACAACAAAGAAAGGAAGAAAACAUGCUGUAGCCUUAGAAUUAACUGAGUUUUCAUCAAAAUUGAGACCAAUGCCAUUCAAACGUCAAUAGAUUAAAACUUCUCAAGAACAUUAAUAAAUAUUGCUCACUAUAACCUAAUAUUUCAGGCUAGAGACUAUCAAGCUGGGAAAAGAAAAGCUGGAUUGGCUAAAUAAUAACUUAAACAAUUAAAGUGAGUCGUUUCAAGCCAGUUAAGACAAGGUGAGAUCUGGAAUCUGUACAGUAUUAAUGAACCCUAAAGCCGGAAGAGGUGAUUCAUCAUUUCACUAUUUUAGUGAAAGAAUUAACCAAAAACAAUUAUGAAUAAACCUGUAAAAAACCAGCAUCCUGAAUAAUUCACUUUAUUCCUCCAAAAAAAGAAGCAAAAAAUUCUCGUUUUUGAAUAAGUUACAGGUUACUAUGUCUUUAAUUCUCAGACUUGCUAUGUGGAAAGCACAAAAUUCAAUAUUAAAAGACAACUACCAACAACUGCAAUAUCUAAGAUAGCAUGCCCCUUUUGAGGCCAAUCUGCCCUGUAAAAAGAAUUGAUCAAAAAGCAGACUCAACAAGAGUUGGAGUAUGCACCAAUUAUAAAACCUGCAACUUUUGUAUUCUUAAACCCCAAGCACUUUCUAAAAGAGAACUAAAGGAACAUGGGAGCCAUGCUUAAAGAAUGUAGUGUCAAACAUUUUGUACCUCCUCAGCAAAUUUUAUCAAGAUGGUUGUUCGAGGUCGCUGCUGUCCUUCAACAGGAACAAAAUGAGCUGUUACCACAGCAGGGAAACCUGCAUUAUCCAAAACUCCCUUCAAAAGAAAAAGCACAUCAACUAGAGGCCAACUCCAAAAUUAUCAAUAGGUAUUUGUACCAAAAAGAUAAAAAUGUAAGACAUACCCUUACAAUUCCAGCAACAAAAGCUCCGCAAUUAAAAGUACCCAUAUCUUUGGGAAUUGAUAUAAAUCUAGAAUCAAAUGAAUGCAUGUUAGCAGACCAUUAAGAGGACAGCUAAUACAAAUCAGAUACAAGCAUGCAACAAAGGGAGAAAGAUAACCUGUUGACCAAAAGUUCCUUCUCGCUAAUCAUGUAUUCAUCUUCAUGUUCAGUACCUUUCUCAAGAGAGUCAGCUACCUGAAAUUUACAUGGAUAAGAGGAUAAAAGAUGCAUUCAUGUCCCUUUCUAAAACAACUACGUCUUCAGAAAAUUCUCACCAAUACAGACAGUAUUGGUGUCUGAAUAAUAAUAAUAAUAAUAUGCACAUGAAAAGCUUAAUAUAAAGGUGUCUGAUAUUACAAGUUGAUUAUGUGGAGGACCAAGGACAGAUAUGAUGAAAAUGCUCCUUCUGGACAGUAGAAGUCCCUUACAUACAUUAUGAUCUAAGGCACAAAUUUGUGUGCACCCAGCACUUUGAAGCCACCAGUAGCAAAUUCUUGUCAGUUCUUUUAUUACACAACCUACUAAAAAUAACUCUUCAGAUUGUCAACCCUGACACAAACUCCAUCGUUAUUUAAGCUUCGGAAGCAACGUGCUUUCUAAACUGGAGUUCAUGCUUUUAAAAGAAGAAGUUAGCAGAGAACUAAAGAAACAUUAACUUCAACCACAUAGAAAAGAAGAUCGGUUAGCAGUGAUAGAAGCAUGCUAAAAUUUUCCAAUCUGUAUUGAUACAGUUUUUGUGCUAUGUAGACCAUCAUUUACAGAUGUGAGAAUCUAAAAAGAAGAUAAAAUUAUCACCUCAGAUGGCUAUCUUCAGCAGUAAAGUCAAAUUGGUGGCUUUACCAGUUAGAAAAGUAACACUAAAAUUUUGAGAUGUAAAUAAGCAAUUUUUCCGCUAAAUGCUUAAUUCAGGGUAGCAUGUCUUUUUUAAAGCUUGUGCCAAAGUUCUGGAUUUGAUUCUUCUUUCCAGUAGUAACGCUCCACAGCUGUACUUAAAUUAAACAAAAGUGAAUGGGUGAAGCAUCUUCAUAAAAUGCAGAUAUGCUAUUUUCCAGGUUUACUUUUAUGUGCACAAGUAACAAGCUGCAGAAUAGUUGAAGCAUAAACGCUACAAUAAGAUUAUGCAAUUUAUUAUUAAAGUCGGAAGAAACUUUGUUCCCAUGUUGUUGCAUUCAUAUUGAAGCAAUUUGGUCUCUGCAGAUCCCAUCUCCAAGGGAUCACCAUUCAACAUAAAAAGUGGCCAAAGGUUGUCAUUUUACAAAUACAGAAUAUAAGCAACCUUACAGUCAAUAUGGUUUUUCAUUGACUUGCAAACUCAUAGUUUUGCAAUCUUCUACAUUUCAUUGCGUAUGUUUAAACAAAUAUUUGGGGAUUAGCAACAUAUUGAAAUUUGAAAACACUCAGUGUAUCUGGAUUAUUCAUUUGAAUAUGCUUCUUUGCGGAUUGUCCUGAUCUGACAAUUGAAUACGCUCUAGCAAAAUAUUGGGCAGAAAAACAUAUCAAGGGCAUGCAACAAAGGCAUUGAGGGGACUAUAUAAAAUUAUACUACAAGAAUUUCAGUUUCUCAGUGCUCUAUCUAAUUUCUGAAGCAGUUAUCCUAGAUUUUCAUUCUCAGUAUAGGUCAAAUCUUAAAACAGCAAGCUGACAUAUACUGUGCCGUAUGAAUCCAAAACCAGCAACAGUCUUGAUAGUUCGGAGCUGGAAAGUUAGGUUAAUCCUUACUCAACAUCAUGAACUCAGAAAAAAUCCCAAACUUAAUUACCUGAGAAAAUAGUCAAUAUAGGAUUAAGAAAAUAAUAGAAUAUUACUUUUGCAAACGACAAAUGGAUUUUGACAUCCAUGACAGUUGUCAUAAGGAACAGGGAACAGGUCACAACAACAUUCAUAUCACAUAAAUGGUUUUCAUGACAUAGAGGCUCUUAGUUUUCAGAUUAUAAUCCUGCACCACCUAAGUUCACAUUUCUAAAAGAGUGUGGUAAACUUGCAAAAUGCCUUUCAAGUCAGAUUAGUAUUGAGAACACACCCAUAUUGGGAUCAUGUGAUCAUCAAUCCUUUCAAAAAUUAAAAAUCAGGAGCAAGAAACUAUGAAGGUAUGUGGAGCCUAUCUCACCAUACCAGGCAAGGAAAGGUGGCAAUACUGAAAAGAGGAAACGAUUAGUUUGGCGAGUUAACAAAGACACGGGAAGAUAUACUUCCACUAAAGUUUUCAGGUCUUCAAAAUAAACCAAGAUAGAUCUACCACAAAAAGAGUAAAAAUUACUAAAGUUUCAAGAGACAAAUUUAUUUAAGCAAUGCACCAUAUCUUGAGAGGCCGCAAGUCAAUACCAACCUUUCCAAACAACACCUUCCAUACUGUGCUGUGUACAAAAGAUAAGAUACCCAGGAGUCGUGUCUCUCUUCUGUUUCCCUAAAGCAUCAAAUAAAUAGUAAAAACAUAAGCCAGUCAACUUAGAGAAGAACAAAAGCCAUAAACAUAGAUUUAGAGACCCCUCUGAGAAGUUCUUAUAUAACAUUAAUCACUUCACAAACAGUUACUCAGAUGUCCCUUUAAUAAUUCAACCAAUAAUUGAUCAAUAUGUUGCACCAUCACCAUUCACCAGAUCUUGCAGUGACCAAUAUGUUGCAUACAUGAAUCUUCGUGUGCGAAAAAUUACUCAAGGUAAUGCUUCAGUUAAAGACAAGAAUAAAUAAGCAUACAAAGUUAGCUGAUUUAAUAUUUUCUUUCAAACAGUAAUAGCUUUGUUUAGGAGAAUAGUUUUAAAACCUCAACACCAAAAAGAAAUUACUUGGUUUCUCCCUUGAUUUUUCAGUGUAUGUCCUAUAGCAAAGUAGCAGUGGAAUUACUUAAAAAAAAAAAAAAAAAAAACUAAAAACAUUAUGAACACAUGAACUUGCUGCAAAUAAGAAUCUAAUCUGAAUCAAUUUAUUGAACUUCAAUCACUUCAGCCACAAUAGGCAGAUGUUAAAUGGACAAAAAUAUCCAGCUCUUCAGCUUUGCAAUUGAUGCAGAUGUUUUAGUUUCACUUCAAAGAUUAGGAUGAUUUAACAUGCAUAAAACUUGCCAUGGGCUACCAUAGAGAGUAAGAAUAUUCGCAUGAACUCUCUCGAUUUUCCGCACCUUUUCUCUGUGGCAAAGAAGUUCCAAAACCCUUGCUCCAACAGCAUAUCCUGCAUCUUCGAGCCUGCAAGCCCAAAACUAAGAUAUCAUCAAAUUAAUACAACAGAAUCCAUGCAUAAAUCAAGCAGUCACACAACUUCAGUAACCCAAAGUAAACCAUCAGAAACCCAAGGAUUGUGAAUCCAGUUCCAGAUCAAUCAGAACAACAAAAAUAAUCAUUUUGUAUGGGUGUGGCGAGAAUGUUUGACAAAAGCAGAUUAGUAAAGGACGAUUCUUGCCAUAAAUUUUCAAAAUGCACGCUAAACUAACUAUUUAUAUUGCUGUUGCAUAUCCCCCCCCCCCUCUCACCCCUUUCUCCAAUCCCCACAAUUUAGCAUGUUAUUAGUCAGUUCAAUUUUUUGUUUCCAAAACAGUACCAGAUGAUAAUUACUUGCGCAUAAUUGCUUUGAACUGCACGGUGACUGAUUUUCCAUCCUGAGCACAUCUCACAAGUUUGAUUCAAGAAAUUCCAGAACUAUAAAUUAACGCCAACCAUUCUUCACAGCAUAUACAUAUUGACCUACAUGAGUGGAAGAUAGUAUCACCUUCUUUCGAGUUCAGCAAUGUUGUCAACUUGAGUCUGAUUGUACUGAACCAGCUCUGAGAACAAGAAUGCAAAUGCACUCAAACUCACCUGACCAAAACAAUUAUCAUUUUUUUAGAACAAAGAAGAGAUUUCAAUCAACAGCCAGCAGAAAGAACAAAACCCCAAUAAGAAAUACUAAACAACAAAUACAUUUCAAUUGUGACCAUGAAAAGAGUCAAAAACAAAAACCCAUCCACAUUGAGCCGCAAAACUACAUGAUUUGAGAUGAAACCAAGCUAAGUACCUUAUAAUUUGCUCAACUACAGUUAAUUAAAACCCUUUAAUCCGUUAACCUGUUACCGGCUAGAUCUGAAUAGGGAGUGAAAGAAAACCUCUUGUUUGCCUUUACUGAGGGGCCUGUCGAGGACAUUUGUGUACUGCUUCAUCUUUCCAACUCCUAUCAUCCUGCGAUCCUUCACCAAUUUGUUGGGUUGCUUUUUUGAUUGCUACUGUGUCUGCUUUCGCUCAAAGUACUUACCAGUCGUAGUUGAAAACUUAAAAGCGAAGAUCAAUUCGGGUUUUUGAAUGAUAAAAGCAAAUUUUUGUGCUCCUAAGAUUAAUGGAAGUAUACAAGGGUUUAUUGUAGUUGAAACCCUUAAACUUUUGUGUGAGUUGCACUUUGCGCCCUCAACUUUUCACCAACGUUUUUUAACCCAUUUUGUUAUAUGUUUCUGUUCUAAUCCAUUUCCUAUUUUCUCCAAACUCUCUCAUGUUACCAUAAUCUCAAAAGAUCAUAAAUGCGAGCUUCUAAUCCCUUUUUCUAUUUUUUGCACCGUCUUUUAUUAUGAAAUGUGAUACAUAGCUGUUUGAUAUGUUUAUUUACUUUUGAAUUUGGUAAACUGAAAAGGUAGAUGAGAAAGAGGAUUUGUGGCCAAACUAAAGUUUCAUAUUUCAAGAAUCAAAACGCUUCUAAUUCAAUUUAAUGUGAAACUUAAAAAGUAUAAAGUCUUGCUGUAUCAUAUAAUAAAUAGUUUCGAGAUUCUUUUGGCCAAAAACCAUAUUGUAAGUAUCAAUUGUUUUACACAAUAAGGAAAUUGCACAUCAUCAUGGAAUUGUAUAUAUUUUUCCAUGAGCAUGCAUACAUUGUCUGCCGUUAUUAUAAAUUUUUACUUUUUUUACUCGUAGCAUCUGGUAGAAAAGUUGUUAAAAAAAUUCGUUUGAUUAGGAGAUUAUUUAGAAUAAUCACCGUAUUACUUUUUUGUGAUGUAAUAUAUAUGAAAUAAAGAGUGAUUAACAUAUAAAAAAGUGAUUGCAAAACGUAUUUAUGAUACAAGUAAAAUUAUAUUAAAAAAUUAGUAUUCAAACACACCCAAUAUUAACUUUUCUUCUCAUUCAUUUACUAAGUAAAAUAAUUGGUUUACUUAACAUGCAAUGAUAAAUUAUUUUUAAUGUUCCAUUUACGAAUAAUUAGCUUUGCAUUGAUCAAACAAUGAAGGAAAAAAGAAAAACUUUUAGACCAUGAACUAAUGUGUUUGGAUGGCAAAUUAUUUGAAAAAACAAAAUCAGAAUAAUACUAGCUAUAAUGAGUUUGUUUGGAUAAGAGUUUAUUUGGAUGAUUUAUUUGAGAUAUUUACUGUAGCACUUUUUGUGAUGUGAUGUAUGUGAGAUAAAAAGGUGAUUGAGAAGAUAAAAAGGUAAUUGGGAUUUAUGAGAAUAAAUUUUGCAAACCAAAUUAUCUUUGUCCAAACAAACUCAAUGCUUUUAGUUUUUUUUUUUUUUCAAUUGGGGGUGUUCCGGCCUACACCCGACUAGUCCCCAACCGCGUGGAGAGCAUGUCCCACUGAUCCUUAAGAAAUUACGCCGGAUUGCUGAGCUCAGGAUCAAACCCAAGCCGUCUCACCUUAAUGAGGGUUACACGAUCACCCGAACAACCCGUCGAGGACGCUUUUAGCUAUUUGAUGUAUCAUUUUUUACCCUCCUUUUAAGUGCCUAAUGAAGCUCUUUAUGAGUUAAUUACAUGUAAAUAUUUUUCUAGUCCUAUGCGCCGCAACUUGCAGCCAUGAAACAAAGGGCUUGUUUGGAAGUGAAGUUUUUGAUCAAGUUUUUUAGCUACUAGUUUUUUAACAACUUUUGCUACAGGAAUCCCAAAAAACUUAUCACAGUUUUUUACUUACACACUUCAAAAUAAUAUACAAAAAACUUUCCCUUCAACUUUUCUUCUUUUUCCUCCCCCACCCAACCGCCCACCACCUCCACCACCGCUUCCGGUGCCAAUAACUAUUCCGGCCAACUUUUGCCGGCCUUCCUCUUUUUUUUUUUUUUUUCUCUCCCUCCCCUCCCCCUUUGACUGAUAUGUUGGUUUCCAAAAUCUCUUUUUUCUUUUUUUUCUUUCUCCCUCCCCCCUCCCCUCUUUCCCUCUACCUUUCCCCGCCACCUUCCCCUUCCCGCAGCUUGGGGAGAAGGAAAAUUGAAAAAAAAAAAUUACACUCAACUGUUGCUGCUUAUUCUGCUAGCAAGAUAAGGAAAGGAGAGGGAGAUGGAACAUUGGAAAAAAAAAAUCAUUUAUAUUGCUGCAAAACUCAUGUGCAAAACUCAAGUGGCGGCAGAGGGAGAGGGAGAGAGAGGGGUGGCGGGGGAGCUUUUGCAUGGGUGGGGGAAGGGGGUUGCGGGCAGAGAGAGAGGAAGGGGGAGCUUUUGUAGGGGUGGAGGAAGGGGUGACGGGGCAGAGGGAAGGAAAAGGGGAAAGGGAGGAGAGGGGUGGCGGGAGGUGGCAUUGGUGGAGUUGCUGCUGGGGUGGUGGAGGUAACGGGGAAGGGGGAGUGGGAAGGAAGAAGAAGAAGAAGAGAGGAAAGAAAAGAAAACAAAGAAAGAAAAAGAAAGAAAAAGAAAAAGAAAGAAAAGAAAAAAAGAAAGAAAAAAAGAAAAGGAAAAAAUAAGUUUUUCACCCUACAAAAACUUCUACAAAAUUUUUCACCUUACAAAAACUUCUACAAAAUUUUUUCAAAAACUUCUACCGUGCACUACAAUAAAGGGCCUGUUUGGAAGCGAGUUUUUUUGGCCAAGUUUUUUAGCUACAAGUUUUUUAACAACUUUAGCUACAGGAAGCCAAAAAAACUUAUCAAAUUUUUUAACCUACACACUUCAAAAUAUCUAAUACACAAAAAACUUCUAUCUUUCUUCUUUUUUCUCCCCCACCCCAUCCACCAUACCUUCAUUGCCGGCCACCAUCUCUGCCGCCGUUUCCGGCGCCGGCCACCUAUUCCGGCAUCGACGUUCCCAAAAUUUUUUUUCCUUCCUUUCUCCCUCCCUCUCUCCUUCGCUCCCCUCUCCCCCUCCCCUCCCUGGCCAAACAGCCCAGAACUAUGCAGCAGUAGCAGUUACUUUCCUACGCUAUGGCUGACGGGAAAAUGGGGGAACAAGGAAGGGGGUGGCGGGAAACGGGAAACGGGAAGGGAAACAAAGGAGGGGGAAACGGGAGGGGGGUGGCGGGGCAGAGAGGGUGGCAUGCAGAUGGGAGGGGAAGGGGCAGGGAGAUGGCGGGGCAGCGGGGAAGGGGGAAGGGGCACAGGGGAAGGGGAAGAGGGCUGGCGGGAGGAGGGGGUGGCGGGGCAGAGGGAUGGCAUGCAGAGGGGAGGGGGAAGGGGCACAGGGGGUGGCGCGGCAGCAGGGGAAGGGAGUGGCGCGGCAGCGGGGGAAGGGCUAGCGAGGGAGGGGGUGGCGGGACAUAGGGGAGGGGAAAGGGGCGGAGGGACUGGCAACGGGGAAGGGCUAGCGAGGGGAGGGGUGGCGGGACAUAGGGGAGGGGAAAGGGGCGGAGGGACUGGCAACGGGGGAAGGGCUAGCGAGGGGAGGGGUGGCGGGACAGAGGGGAGGGGAAAGGGGCGGAGGGACUGGCAACGGGGGAAGGUAGCGAGGGGAGGGGUGGCGGGACAGAGGGGAGGGGAAAGGGGCGGAGGGACUGGCAACGGGGAAGGGCUAGCGAGGGGAGGGGGUAGCGGGGCAGAGGGCGUGGCGUGCAGAGAGGAAGGGGAAGGGGGCUGGCGGGGGAAAUGCAGAGGAGAGGAGAAGGGGAAAGGGAGGAGAGGGGUGGCGGGAGGGAGAAGGAAGAAGAAGAUGAAGAAAGAGAGGAAAGAAAAGAAAAAGGAAAAAAGAAAGAAAGAGAAAGAAAAAAGAAAGAAAGAAAAAAAAAGAAAAGGAAAAAAAAAUUCAUCCUACAAAAAUUUUUACAAAAUUUUUUAUCUUACAAAAACUUCUGCAAAAAAAUUAUUCACCUUACAAAAAUUUCUAUAAAAUUUUUUCAAAAACUUCUACAGUGCACUACAGUAAAAUUUUUAGACAAACUACCAAAAAACUUAGGUUCUAAACAGGUCCGAAGUUUUAGACAAACUCCCAAAAAACUCAAGUUCCAAACAGUCCAGAAAUUGGCUGUGAUUUCUCCUAUUAGGCAUUAUAAUUGCAGUCUUAAGAAGUAGUAGUACAAGUUGCCUAAAAAAAAAAAGAAAAAAGUAGUAGCACUGGUACUUGCCAAGAGGCUCCGAACGAGCUUCAAAACCCUCCAUUUCUCUUGAUUGAGGCUCACACACUAGAUACACUCAAAAAACACGCACUCGCGUUGUUCUCUUUCUUCAUGGAAGACGAUGAUGAGUUCGGAGAUCUCUAUACUGAUGACGUCUUAAAGCCUCUAACGACGUCGUUUCAAUCUCAACCUCAGCAGCAGCAGCAGCAGCCACCUGCUCCGCCUCCUCCUCAGUUCCAGCUUGAAAAUAAAGAAUCAUCCAAACCGACGGCGUAUCAAGGCCGUCCGAUCGAUCUAAACGUCAAUAGCGAUAAGGAUGAUGAUGACGACGAUGAUGAUGAGGAUAAAUUUUUCCGAGCUGCGAAUUCCAGUUCCACUGGAAAGAUUCAAACCCUAGCCUCGUCGCAAACCGGAUUCUAUUCUCGUCCUGACCCGACGAAUUUUGAUUUGAAUAAGAUUUCCGGUCAAGUGGAGGGGAGCUCGGGGGGUUUAGCUGGGGCUGGAUCGGAUUCGCAAGCUAGGGUUUUGGGGACGAAGGAAGGAGAUGCGAAAUUGCCGGAAAGGGCUCGGGGAGUUCCGGCUUAGGUGACGACGCUGAUAUUGACGUCAUGGUUGAAGAGAGGGACGAAAAAGACGACAAUUUCGUUGUUAAAGGUGGAAAUUUGACGGAUAGAAGUGGAAAUGUUGAGAAUUUUGGCACGGGAGACCCGAUGAUUCCGGGGCUGUCGAUUCCCGGAGUUUCUGGCAGAGUAGAAAGCCGUGCCAACGCUAAUUAUGAUGAUGAUUGGGAUAGUGAUAGCGAGGAUGACUUGCAAAUCGUGUUGAAUGAUACUAAUCAUGGGCCGAUGGGGAUGGAGAGGAUGGGAGGAGGAGGAGGAGGUAUGGGGGAUGAAGAUGACGACGAUGAGGAUGACGAAGAUGGGGAGCCAUUGGUGAUUGUUGCAGACAAUGAUGACCCGAGCCAUCAGCCAAUGAUGAUGGAAGAGCAAGAUUGGGGAGGGGAGGAAGUGGGAGCUGGUGGCGAUGGGGAGAAAAAGGAAUUAGGUGAAGCUGCAAAAAUAAAUGGGGCAGGAGGUGGAGCUGUGGCGGCACAGAAGAUUGGGUAUAGCGGUCACGGGUAUCAUCAUCCGUUCCAUUCACAGUUCAAGGUCAGUGAUGUUGCCGCACACCUGGGGUUUGGUGCUUUCACCCUCUUGUUUGAUGAGAACUUGCAAUGUACUAAACUGGCUAGUAAUUGUUGUAUAGAGUUCUGGAAAUUGGUUACAUUAGAAUUCAUCAAUGCGGUUGUCGUAUGUGUUAAUGAGGUUGACUGUUGUACUGGUUUCAAAUCUCCAGUAAUAAAAUUUAGUAUGAUUUGUGACCAAUUUCAUACUCCAGUGCUUUUACUCAUUCUUAGCUUCUUACUUGUUCAUUUGGCGGCUUUAUAUUUUACAGACGAUGAACAUACGUCCAAUGUGGCAAUAGCAUGUAGCUUCUUGUUUCUGGCGCAUAGGGAACUAGUUUUUUCAGUCCAUCCUAAUCUUUUUGUGCUUUCGAGGAGAGUUUCCGGUGACCAUACACAACCUUAUUCACCAAGCGUCUUCUAAAAGUUGUCAAUCUGUAUGUCUGUCCAAGUUUUGAGUAGCAGAAUUCAAUGAAUAACCAAUGUCAAGAUUGAACUAAAAUUGUCUGCUAUCACUCAUUCCUAAAAUUUCUUCUGAAACUGCUCCUUGGGGUUAAGUGUUGAGAAGAUAGCUGGCAUUUUACAAGAACUGGUUAUGAGUGAAUUUCCUUGCUUGCCUGGGUGGCUUGCAUUGAGCAUCUAGACAUGCUGCAACACAGAAGUUAUACAACUUCAUGCAACAUGCCGCCAGCGACCCAGUUUUGUCCUUUUGAACCUUGAACUGAUUAUUGCUUGUGGAAACAAAGCAAAUGGUGCAUUUAGCAGUUUCCCUUGCACUGGUGCAAACACAUUUUCCUACACGUUGCGACUCACUAUUGGCUGGAAACCAGCUGUUAUUGUUGUUUGAUGAGAAAUGUUGUAAAAUAUCUACAUCAAGUAUUUAGCUACCUUAAGUUUUAGAAAAUCCCUUUUGGUAGUUAUUAUAUUUCGUAUCUUUUUUCAAAAAUUUCUUGGUAUGGAAUUGAUUUUAGUAUGAGGAUAUCAUUUUCACCUGAAGUAAUUACACUGGUGGCCUUUUAAGUGUCGUUUAGAUGUUAGUUAAUAGAUGCUUCUAACUAAAGCUAUUCCACAGCUGUGACAAAAUGAUGUUGCUUUUAAUUGAUUUCUCUUUGUUAUUAGUCAUUUGUUAGCUUCUUGGUACUUUAUGCUUUUCAUUUUCAACUAAUAAUAAUUUAUCAAGAUGCUAAAGCCCAGAUUGCCAUCUUCUAUCAUGACACAAACUGUUCCUUUUUUAGGGUCUCUAACCCUUCAAUUUUUCCUUUCCUAUCCUACUCAUUAGCCUUAUUAGUUGAAAUACUGUUGAUAUUUUCGAAUAAUGCAAGAUAUCCGAACUACGUGAAAUUUGUAAUUUUUGUACUGUGAAUGUUUAGCUAAAGGUUUUCGAUAUUUAGUUGAUUUUUUUUUAGAUCAUUGAGCAUGUGUUUGAAAGGCUUGCGUCAUAUUAAAGAUUUGCUCUUAUGUUGAUUCUCCAUUUGUUGAUACUUUUUCUGUUCUUUUCUUUGGAAAACCGUGUAGUAUGUGAGACCUGGUGCGUCACCAAUGCCUGGAGCAGCUGCUAUGGGUCCCGGGGGCACUUCAGGUCAAGUUCGUCCACCUGUGAGCAUGGUUCCUGGUGCUGGACGUGGCAGAGGUGAUUGGCGACGACGACUGGAGUAAAGGGUCCUCCAGAAUGCAGAAAGGUUUUCAUCCAGGCUAUGGAAUGCCUAUUUGGGGAAGUGGGGCUUCAGGACGUGGAUUGGAGUUUACACUUCCAUCACAUAAGUAUGUUUAUUUUGAUGAGGAUACUGGUAGUGCUAUUCUAUCACAAGCAUUUUGCUCAUUUUCUAAAAAAAUUUAAACAAAAAAUGUCCAUGGGGUGAAUGGAUUUGAAGUUAAAACUGUUACAUCCACCUGCUGAAAGCUGUUAAGGUUGGGGUUAAGACAUUCUCAUGUUCACCUGCCGAAACUGUUAUUUGGCAGGCAAAUGUUUUGAUCUUCUCAAGUUAAAGACCUAUUUUCUGCCUUAGUUGCUUUUCUGUAGAAGUGCCUUUUUGUAGCCUUUCAUGGUGGAGAUGUUUGCAUGUUCUAAUACAAACAUCUUUUCCGAUACAUACAAAGUCCAAAACAAGUGGUUGGUGGAAAUCUUAAGCUUUUGUUAAUUGUCGAUAAGUUUAUGCAUGUAUUUGAUUAUCUCAUGCACAUUUGGGAUGCGGAUAUUAAGGUAAAGUAUGGAACUUUCACAAUCCCUGGAGAGAUUGUUCACUAAUAGACUAGGGGAUAAGUAAUUCAACUUAUUCACAUCCAGAUCAUGAAUGUUUGGAAUCCAUAUUAUGCAAGGAGACAUUGCUUUUGCUAAUUCAAUUUGAAGAGUGAUAUAAAAUUGGUCUAUUUCUGGCAUCAUAUCCAUAGCGCAUUCAUCAUGGUUAGCAGCUCCAGCUCCAUAUCAAGGCUAUAUUGUCUCUUUCAUCAAUAUUGAUUUAUUUUGCUGUUUAGCUGAUUUGAGAAAGACAAUAGAUACUUCUAAUUUUAGAUGAGCAAAAUAACCAAGAAUGCAAGUAGAAGGGACUUAAUUCUUUUAGGAGAAGUGAAAAGCUGAAGGUCAACAGUAGUUUUGGGAUUCUUACUCUUGGAUCAGUUUAGACACUUGGGUACUGUCAUGCUAGUCAAACUUGUCGAAUCAUUAAAUCUUUCCCUUAGAUUCUAGACAGGUGUCGAGUCGGAGUUGCCUCUUCCAUCUUUGGCUUUUACUCAUGAUUGGUACAAACGUAUAAAGGAAAUGGUGAGGUUGUCUAAUCAUAUGUGCUUCCUUGUCUGCCAUGUACAUUUUGGUCUUGGUCACUUCUGUAACUUGUCUGUCAAAUUAAACUUUUUUACAGUAACUUUGUAAUGUAUAUCUAUAAAGGAAACAAGAAAGGGCAAAAAUUGGGAAGAAGGGAGAGAGAUACAGAAAGGCAGCAGAGGAAGUACAUCUCUAGUUUGUAUUUAUGAACCAGUGAUAGAAUUUUUUUGUUUCUGUGAGGGCCAUGUUGAAUUAUGUUUGAAGUGUUUUUAAUCCUAGACCAUCUAUUACCACUGAUAGUAUGCCUGUGUUUGGAUAUUAAGAUCAGUAAUCAUCUUUACUUGACCUGGAGAAUAUCCCAUUGGAGAAGUUUGACAUCUAGCAUUAGACUCGUAUGGGAUUGAGAAAGAUGAGGAGGGUUGUAUAUUACACUUCCUUAAACCUCAGAGAGCAAGAAUGCAAAUUCGACGAGGAUACAGCUUGACAUAUGCAAGCUUGAUCAUUACACUGUAACAGAAGGUUAUUAAUUGAGGAAGAUCACAAAUUUCAUAACAUUGGACUGCCAUAACAUUGGACUGCAAGUGAAGCCUUAUAGCAUUUCACGUUGAAAAUACUCAUUAUCCUGUAAUGCGGUGAAAGGUUGACCCUUUGAGCUAGUAUAAGUAAAUAAGCACUGAAAACUCUUUUUUGUCCUUUUGAGAAAAACUUUGUGGAAAUUCUUAUUUGAGUUUGUAAGUAUCCUUGUUAGAGAUACUCCCACUUUAGGAAAAAAUUUCUACCUCCUUGUAAAAGCUUGCUGCUUUAAACUUCAUUGCCGGUCAGAGUUUCUGGGUUGUCUCGAUGAUAAAUUGGUUUUGGUGUUUGUUAACAUGUCUGUUUUGCUUUUUAAAAAGAUACUGCCUUUGGUUGUGCAUGGCGGCCAAGUAGUAUUUCUAGACAAAGAUUUUGCCAUUUUCUAUUUGUUUCUGUGCAUGUAAUGGUGAAGUUUUUUUUUAAAUUAAAGUUUGUUAUAAUUGGCCUUUUAACCUUAUGUUUUAUUACCAGGACCAUAUUUGAAGUUGACAUUGAUGGUUUUGAGGAAAAACCAUGGAGACAUGCUGGUGUGGAUAUAACAGAUUUUUUCAACUUUGGAUUGAACGAGGAAAGUUGGAAAGAUUAUUGCAAACAGCUCGUAGGUUUCACCAACAGCUUUUUGCAUGCCUUAAAAAGAAUUUUACCUUGUGAUUUAUCCUUCUACUUUUAUAAUUUUGUGUGAUUGUGUAUCAAUUCCUUGUUGGGUAAAUCUGAUCUGCACAAAGUGUAAUAAAAAAUUGUGUGCACAUUUUAAAAUAAAAAUUAAUGCUAAUUUUCAGGAGCAACUCCGUCUUGAAACAACAAUGCAAAGCAAAAUUCGUGUUUAUGAAAGUGGGAGAACAGAACAGGUACACAGUCUUUUAAAAUUUGGAUAUGUAAUAUUCUGAAUAUUUGCAUGAGAUUUUUUGUGGUUUAGAAAGAAAAUUGUAUUUUAUAUCUGAUUUGUUUUUCCUCUUGUAUUAUGUUCAGGAGUAUGAUCCAGAUCUUCCACCUGAGCUUGCAGCAGCUGCUGGUAUUCAAGAUACUACAUCUGAAAGCUUGAAAGUUGGGAAGCCAGAUGCUGUUCAAAAUGACUUAGGCAGAGUACUGCUCGUGUGCGACCACCCUUGGUAUGUAGUUUUCUUAGACCUUUUGCUUUGCUACUCGUGAAACAUUUUGACCAUUUUAUAAAAUUCAUGUUGUUAUUUUACUUCUAGGCUAAAUUUUUGGUGCUAGGAUCACUUCUUUCUCUACCUCAUCUGAUUGUGGAAUAUUUUACAGAUUAAAUAACCAAGAAAAGAAAAUGCACCUAUAGAGUUCAUUCUCUCUACUGAAUUGAUUUAAUUAUUUACUUUUUAAUCUGCCACCAGCCAACUGGAAGAGCAAUACAAGUGGAAACUGGUUAUGGUGAACGUCUGCCGUCUAUUGACACUAGAAAACCGCGGAUUAGUGAUUUAGAUGUAAUUAUUGAGGUAAGUUUUCAGGUCUUCCUAUUCUGUCUAACUCAACCUUCGUUUUUGUAUCAAUUGUAAUGUAGUUUUCAUGUAUUGAUGUUUCUUUUCUAUUUUCUUCCUUAACAGAUUGUGUGUCAAGACCCUGCUGAUGAUGAUACCAACACUGGAAAUGAGAUGACAGAGCAAGCUGACAAUGAUCCUUCGAGGGAGGAUCUUAGGGAUGGUGAUGAGUUUGAAGACCUUCCCAAAGAAGAUACUGAAGAUGUGGAUCGUGUUCCACAUGCUCACAGCAGUCGCAGGAGGGAAGUUGUGGGCGGAAGAGUGCCAAUUUCGAAAUCUGUUCACGAUAACUUGGCUAAAGGAAAUGGCGAUUUGCCUCUCUCUUCGGAAGCACCGUCAGCAUCCCAUCCUGACUCAGAGAACAGACACCUGUUUGUCCUGGUAGAGAUUUUGCUCAUGAGGAGAGGUAUGAAAAAUUGCUGGAAAUUCAGUGCAUUUUUAUUUUUAUCUUGAACUCUUUUUAUGGCAUAAGCAUGUGAAACCACUUAAUUGGAUUUGAAAUUUUGAUAAAUUUUUCUCCUUAUUAUGCUGUAUCACAUUUUUAACUGUCAGUCUAUAUAGUAGAGCGAUUCAAUCCAGAGCUUUGCUUGUUACUUGGUUAGUAGGUCCUAUCUGUAUGCAGAAGGAUGAUGGCUUACUAGAGAUUAAUGAUCAUGAAAUUCAUAGAGGGACGAAGCUCACCUUGAUGACAAGUCUGCUCCAGCAUUUUUGUUAGUUAAAUUUGCUUGCUGCAGCUCCCUUCCACAAAAGCUUCAGCUUUGUGUUUUGGCUGUUAGUGGACAACUAACUGUGCAACUUUUUAAGUUGUUGACAAUGUAGGAGACUAUACAUGAAUUUUCUUCAAACAUUCUUGUGAUGAACUGUCGCUGAUGUUAUACACAAAAUUAGUUGUGACUUGCAUUUAGGUUUUGGCUUCAUGAUCAUCAUUGACUUGUUAAGUGACAGUAAUUUUCUUUUUGUGAAUCCAGGCGGACAAAGGAGAGAGCACGUGACAGUUCCCCCAUGAUUGCCAAUAAGGAUUGUACUGCCUGAAGAACGAAUAACUGAUAAUAAAGAAUCUUCAGUUGAAAGUUUAGAAGGCAAACAUAGUCUUCCAUCAUCUCCUUUAGCUGUUCGAGGUGCUAGUGAACAAAAUAGUGAACCUAAAGAUGCUAUGAAUGAUGAAGUUGCCCUGACUGAGAUAGGCUCUGACAUGAUUGACAAGGAUGCGUCUUUGAAUGCUAAAACAAGUAGUGAUUCACUUACAGAUGAAACAGGGAACCAUGCUUUGAAAAAACAGAAAGUGAGUUCAAAUGAUGAACAGCAUCUGCCUCAAGAAAUUGAUGAGGAUGAAGACUCAAAAGCUGCAAGAAGUAGUGAAAAUAGUAAAGCAAAAUCAGGAAGUAGCAAUUACCGGAAGCUACGGGACAGUGUUGAAGAAGAAGAGGUUCAAGGAGCGCGCUCAAAACACAUGGGUAAUCUUAAAAGGUCAACUGUGGGCAGCGAGGACAGUGUCCGAAGGAAACUUCGUGAUGAUAGACAAGAAAAUGAUAGACACCGCACCUCAGUGAAAGGGAGGGAAGAUUUAUAUCAGCACAAAGGGUUGGAUCCUUAUUCUGCACAUCCUUCUCGAGGGAAAUCUGUGAAUAUAGACCUGCGAAAGGAUAUGGAUAGUAUUGAGGGAGCCCGUCAUCGCAGAGAAGAAGAUUUGCAUGGGAGGAGACCUAGAGCUGAAGACACAAGAAAAAGGGAGCAUAGGGAUGAGACUGAUUCUAGACACCGCAGUAAGGUUCGAGAAAUUGAAAGAAUGAAAAAAGAUGAACAUUAUCAACUGAGAAAACAAUUGGAUAAUGGGAAUUGGAAAGGCGGUUAUGAUAAAGAUGUGGGAUUGAGGCACAGAGACAGGGAGGAUAAUGUGAAAAGUCGAAAUGAAAUAAUAGAUGACCUUCACAACAAGAGAAGGAAAGACGAUGCACAGUUAAGGAGGGAGCAUGCUGAAAAGGAAGAAAUGUUGCAUGCUCAGCGAGAAAGUAGCAGUCGUAGAAAGAGAGAAAGGGAUGAUGUGUUAGAUCACCGGAGGAGGGAUGACCAAGUAAGAAUGAGAGAUGAUGAUCAACAUGGUGUUAGGUACAAAGAAGAGGGAUUGUUUCAGAGGGAAAGGGGCGAGAGGCAACGAGAGCGAGAGGAAUGGCAUAGGCUUAAACAAUUGAAUGAGGAUAUUCCAUCAAAGAAGGAGAAAGAAGACUUGCGGGUUGGAAUGAGGAGUGGGCGAGCUACUGAAGAGAAAACAUGGGGCAGUCAAUCUAGAGGCAAAGAUGACCGCAGAAGUUCUGAUAAGGAGUACCAUUCAAAGGAUGCAUUGCGGCAGAGUGAGUUAAUCAGCAGGAGGGAUCGAGCUGAAAAUGAGAGUCUUUCACAGCAUAGGGGUGUGAGGAGUAUUAUGCACAUGGGAACCAGCUCAAUACUGAUGAGAGAAGAGGAGCAAGGCAUGAGAGGAUGAACACUCGUGAUGAUCGGGCUGCCAAUGUUGAGAACUACAAGGUGCAUGAGAGAAAACACAGAGAAAAUCCAAGAAGGGUAAGGAAACUGAGAGUGUUGAUCGGAAUUCUUGGCCCGUUCUAGGAAGAAUCAAGAUGAAAUCAGUGCGCAGACAAGCGACAUGGUAUGUUACAUUUCUGAACUGGCUUUUCUUUUUUCUUCUUCCUGUUUUUCUGAAGGGAUGGGAUUAUUGAUUAAAUAGCCUUGCAGGUUUAGUUAGGCCAUUUACUGCCUGACUUUCAUUAACCAACUUCCCCUUGGGAUGAUUUCGAAUCCUGUUGCCUGCCUUUGUGAUUGGAUGGGAUUGAGUGGUUUUUUUAUCUCAUUUUCAAGGAUUAUGUGCUGAAUGGUUCUGGAUAUUGUGACAAAGCUGACCUUGAAUACAUGAAAUGAACAUUUUUGGACUUGAGAUACUUAGUGGAAAUUCAUUGGCCGUCCAUUCUCUAAUAAUUGAUCAUGGGAGGAAUGCACGUUCAGUUUUUCAUUACUACUGGAUUUUGCUUAAUGAAGUGGAGAUUUUCUAAACUUUCUCAUGCCCAUAGCUAGACGACCAUUUGAUGCGUCUUGAUGUCUACGCUUUCCUGGUUGACUAUUUGUUUUCAUAUAUCCUUUUACUCUUAUGGUCUCUGUGAGGACCUUGUUUACUUUUGAUCAACUACUUCUUUAGCACUUAUCUUGAAACUUAAGCGAAUAUUUUUUCUUUUAUUCCAUGUUCUCUGGCACAGUAUGCAUAUCAUCAAUGAGAAUUGACUUUUUCAUGAUUUUUAGUUUUUCUUCUCCCUAGGCAAAUCUCUAAAUUUUUGGUCAUAGAACUGUAACUUCAUACCUUUUCUAAGUUUAAUUAGCAAAUUAGUAACCCUGGGUGUGUUAUCCCAAGCGAGACUGCCAAUGUUUGUAAAACUUGUAUAAUCCUUCAAACCAUUUUUGUCUAAAGAAGCUUCUGGAAAGCUGAUAUUUCCAAUGUACCAUUUAACAUGCAAUUUCUGUGCAUGGUACCAUAUAUUUCCUUGUGAUGCACUGCUGAUGUCAAAACAAUUUUGAAUGUCCUUCAAUACCUUAAUCUUUGAAUCGGAAAAGGUGACUAAUAGAUUUUUUUUUCUUUUUAUGAUCAAGUUGUUAUGCAUUGCUGACUCAGGCAAAGCUUAGCAUAGCAAUAAAAAUAGCUGGACUGUAAUAUCUUGUUGAACAUGAUAGCACUUCUGAGAAUGCUUGGCUAGUAUUAAUAUGGUACACAUCUAGAUUCUUCUUGAUCUUCUAGUAGAAGGGAUUGUGUCUAGCUUUCAGCCUCUUUGUAUGGUUUCAUUGUAUUUGUCAAACUGGAAAUAGCAAUAUUUGCUUUGACUAGCUUAUAAAAUGGUAGCCAGUUAAUCCCAAUGAAUAAGCGCGAUAUUAGUCAGAGUAAUUCUUUGUGACCAAAACAUCACCAUGUGGAUACUUCUUUUGCAAAUCUGCUUGUGUCGAUUCUAUAAUGUAUCUGUGGCUAGGCAGCCGUCUCCAUUGAUUGUAGCAUGUGGUAUAUCCCUUGCACAGAUCAGAAUCAUGCUGGCAAGUAAAUGGGAAGUACAUGUCAAGUUACAUCACACAGAUGCAUGGAAGUAUUUGUAUCUGUAUGUAUAGCUUCAAAUUUAUGAUUUUCCUCUUUCUCAGGUGAGAUUCAAAGGCAGAAUUGAGCAGGGAAAAAGUGAAAAUGAGAUCCAUGUGAAUAUUCCGCCAUCUAAAAAGCAUAGGGAAGAGGCUUCAUCAGAUGAUGAAGUGUCGGAAUCCAGGAGGGGACGCUCCAAACUAGAACGCUGGACCAGCCAUAAGGAAAGGGAUUUCAGUAUCAGCAGCAAGGCUUCAUCUUCCGUGAAGAUGAAGCAGCCUGAGGCAUACGGUAGUGGCGGGCCUUCCAUUGGCAGCAAACUUCAUGAUGAAGCUUCUAACCCAGUGGAGGAUAAGCAACACCCCUCAGGUAAUGAGAAAGAUGCUGCCAGUUUGGAGACGAAUAACACUGAUAAGAAGCCCAUAGAGGAUAGACACUUGGACACUGUGGAAAAACUAAAGAAGCGAGUGAACGUUUCAAACUUCCAAUGCCGAGUGAGAAAGAAGCCACAACAGUCAAAAAGGUGGAAAAUGAAGCUUUGUUGUCUGCCCAAAGUGAAAGUCGUGCAGAUUUUGAAGUUAAAGCAGAGCGUCCAGCUCGUAAAAGGAGGUGGACCGGCAAUUAAUUGCGAGAAGACAUUGAUUUUAGGUGGAUAAAGCAGUUCACUUCGUGGAGCAAAUAUCUCAUUGGCUAUCAUAUUUUUAAAUUUGGCACCCUCGUGGAGAUGUCCUUGAUAUGUGAUUUGAGUACCUCUUUGAUUCAGAGUUCUGUACCUUUCAGCAUAGAGGAUACGACCUUGUGAUGUGCUGCAGGCAGCCAUCUAUUUCAGUUCUAAACUUUCUGUUAUUGUCAUCUGAAGUAUAUGUAUAUACUGAUAAAUGUUGACAUCAUACCUCAGCAAGCUGGGUAAUAGAAAGUUUGAUAGUGUUUGUAGUUAGUGUAUUACUAGUAGCAAUUUGUAUUGCAUGGUCACCUAAUGUUCCUGACCAUGCCAAGAUCGGAUCUGGAUUGCCUGAUGCCUCGGUGCUUUUGGAGGAGAAGCUCUUCAUUUGCUGCUUUCCUCAAAUUAUAGUAAGGGAAUGGGAGAUACUGCGCAGCCAGAACAUGGAGCCGGGGUCUUCGUGAAACCUGUAGGUAGGAGCUCGUAGGUUAUUUGAAUGAGAUUAGAUUUUACCUGUUUUAGAUUGCAAUGUAUUCUAGAUGUAGAGCCUUUUUGAGUCACAAAGGCAACAGGCUAUAUAGCGAUUCAUACAUCUUCAUUGUGCUGAGACCUCUAAUGGAGUGACAAACAUAUGUCAAAAGCAAUAUAGAAUGCAAUAUUUAGACCAGUUCGCUUUUUAGCAGUGUUUACUUGGGGUUUGCCUGCAGAUAUAAUAUCAACUCCGACCAGGUGGUUAACACAACAUUCGUAGGGUUGAAUUGGAUUCCUGCAACCAAACCAAGUUCUUAGUUAUGAUUUGGGAGGAUAAAGUAUUCGGCCAAGCUGUGAGAUUUUGGAAAUGUGAUGGUUACCGUGGUGGGAUAUAAAGUAUUCGACCAUUAGAAAUAAUAACGAGUUUUUCCCUUCACCAUUGAGUACAUAUUUGAGAAAGGUAUUGCAAAUUAGCUGUUGGCUACCACCAUAGCUUGUAAGAUUUGGUGGGGUGGGAGGUCAACGGUUUAAACGUUGUCUUUCACCAUUUGCCACUAUAUGUGGCUUGUUAUUUAAGUGUUUUUUUAAACGGCGUACAUCCGUCUGGGACGAUGAUUCAGUCCUUUCCGAUCUCUCAUUAGUCUUAUUCGGGUCCUCUUCCCUUAGUAUAGAUUAAGUGUAGGUCUAUUGUAAACGUGUAAACAAGUCGAGUUGAGUACAAUUUUGACUUAAUCGAGUCGAGUCUCAAAUUAAUUUUACGAAGUUCAAACUUGAGAUCGAACUCGAUGAAUUCAAAAUGUCGAGCUCGAGACUCAAAUUUGAGUUGAGCUUAAAAAUUUUUAAAAAAUAAUUAAUUUAUUUUAAAAAAUAAAUAAAUAUUUUAUUUUUUUAAAAUAAAUAAAAUAAUUAUUUUUCUAACAAAUAAUAAAAUAUUAAAUAUAUAUAUGUAAUUUUACUAUUAAAAUAAAAAAAUAUAUAAUCGAGCUCACGAGUCGCUCGCGAGCUAACAAACUUUGAAUUUGAGUUCGACUUGAUCCUCGAACUCGAUAUUGAUUGAAUUCGACUUGAACUCGUAUUUGAGCGGCUCGCGAGCGAUUUGAUUCGUUUGCAAUCAUAGUCUAUCGCGUCAGAAAAAAAGGGAAGGUAUUGCAAAUUCUACCUACACGGCUUGGCUACAAAUAAUAAUGAUGGGAUAUAUUUUUUUUAUUUACAAUUUGUCUAUAACCGAGUGAUAAGAUUUGACUCAUUAUCACUAUUUGGCGAUAUAAUAUUGAUAUUGACCCUAGUGCAGCGCAUCAGAAUUAUUAGUGGUGUAUGUGAAAAAUCAUAUUUUUUGUUUAAAAAAAAAUUAAUGAAUGCUCAUGUCAUUAAGACCAAUCUUAGCAACUACACUAAUAAAUUGAGUGACUAGUGACUAAAUUAAUACCGGAAAAACAAAUGUGAUUUUGGUGCAGAAAUAAGCACAGUAAUAACUUAGGUGCUUUUUCCUAAUUUAGAGUAUAUGAUUUUUAGUCUCAUCACUAUCUGACUAAUAUAUAUAUUCCUAACAACUUAACUUACGAUGUCGGACAUUUAUGAAGUAACGAUAAGCUUACGUCUUACCUACCUAGUCAUGACUGGAUUUACGAAGGUUUGUAACGGACUCCAUGAGUUUAGGAGAUAGAUUAAUCUAAAAUGCGUGCAAUUUAGGCCUAUGAUUUCUACAUAGCUGAAAUAGGUUCGAUUGGCUAGCCCCGUAGUCCAAAAAUGUUACAUAAACUGACUUGAUUCUUGAUGAUUGAAAUACUAUUCCGCCCAAAAGACUUCUGUCUGAUGAAACUGAAGUCGAAAAAGAUCAGAAACAUUUGCAUCUGAAACUUUCUUGAGCCGUCCCAUUGAUUUAACUUGUGAGGGAAUAAAGGAGCAGCAUCAACCCAGCUAAUAGAGGUCACGGGAAAUUUCUUCAUUGGGCAAUCCAUCAAUAUCAGAUGAAGCCGUAAGAGCAGUUUUUUUACUUCCAUCACGUAAUUUGCAGCUAUACUCACCUCUAUGUUUGUUCGUAAUUAAGUUUGAGUUCUACUUUAUCUUGAAGUUUUGCUCCAACUUUUCAGCAACUGCAGGAGAGUCGCCCCGUGACGUAUCUGGGUUAUAGAAAUGUCACAUGCGUAUUAGGUGUUUGUGAGAAUGACUGCUUGAAAGAUGAGUAUUCAUAGUUGGGUUCUCUGCCUGGGAUCGAGUUAUUUAGCUUAUUUGGUCUUCAUUCCAGCUCUUUUUUCUUUUUUUUUGGUUGGGUCAAUGAUGAUGUCAAUAAGAGUAGUAAUUACCUACUGCUGACUGUAAAUUUUUAGUCUGGCAGUUCAUUGAUCAUUUGUAUCAAUUUGCUAAUCAGUCUACUUUACCAUAUGCACUUCCUUUACGGUUGUCCUUUGGCUUAAAUGUUCAUUAAGUUCAAUUGAGAUUGUUCAUUGAUCAUAUUGACUAGGAAAUCAAUGCACGCAAUAGAAAUUUUGAAGAGUUUUGCAGACCGUGUUUCUGUCCUACGUCUGUAUUUUACGCAUUUCAAUCUACUUCUUCGUCUAAUUCAUAAUAUUCUAAUAUCAAGUAAUUGUUGUCUUUAUAACCUAGUGGUGAUUUUGUUUUCAAAAUUGACAGGAAAUCUCUUUGGCACAUCUAAACUCCUGCAGCUCUUAUAACUGGCUUUGGCGAAAGGGAAACUUUAUUCAUCGUAUUAUCCUGGACUUUUGGUACUGCUAAGAACAUUGGCCGAGUAUUUUACAGAUUAUAAUGUCCUUGCGUAGGCCUCCGCUUCCUCGCCUUCUCCUGAACAAUGUCUCUUGCAUGCGAAAUGCUCAGCAAAUACUUCGUCAUGUAAAUGUUUCUGUUCAUGAUGGUGGUCACUUGUGCUGACAGGCACCAAUGGCUCAGGCAAAACUACUUUCUUGCGCAUGUUAGCAGGAUUUCCAAACCAUCAGCAGGUGAGAUACUCUGGAAUGGUCAUGACGUCACAGAAUCUGGCGUUUUCCAUCAGUACAAGCUUCAGCUUAAUUGGCUCUCUCUUAAAGAUGCUAUCAAAGAUAAGUUCACCGUCCUUGACAAUGUUCAGUGGUUUGAAGUUCUUGAAGGCAAGCAAGGAAGGUCUCUGCCUGCUUUGGAGCUUAUGGGACUUGGACGAUUGGCAAAAGAGAAAGCAAGAAUGCUUUCUAUGGGUCAACGAAAAAGGCUGCAGCUAGCAAGGCUGUUAGCAAUUGAUCGGCCAAUUUGGUUACUUGACGAGCCUUCCGUGGCAUUGGACGAUGAUGGGUGAAAUUGCUAGAAUAUAUAAUUGCAGAGCACAGAAAGAAGGGAAGUCGCAUUGUGGCCACUCAUCUGCCAAUUAAGAUUGACGAUGCAAUGAUCUUAAGAUUGCCGCCAAGUUCCCAAGGAGGAUGACUUUAGUAGACAUGCUUGAUCGAGGUGGAUUAGAUUGAGGAUAUUGAUAUUCCUAAUCCAAACAUGUGAAAUGGUUUAUUGGAGAAACGUCAUGGAUCAAACAAAAAUCACAAGUAGGACUUCAGAUAAAAUGAAGAUUCUUCAUUAAUUGUCACUGUAAGUUUAACAUUUAUGUACAGAGUUUGUGCUUGCUAAAAGGGCAUCCGCAUCUUUCAUUUAAAGAAAACACAGUGAGACAGAGGCAUUUAUUCUAUAACGGUCUUUCUUUUGUUUCUGGUUCUAUUCUUUGGUGCAUGGCCUCUAAAUAACCAUCCUUGCAUGGACUAAUCAGAAAUCCAUCAUGCAACACUUUUGUUGCCUUCAUCCAACAUUUCGUUGUUCAUGUUGCAUGAUUUUAGUCUUCAAUCUAUAUGCUUUGUGAUCAUGGCAAUAGCAUCUUUGAAAUCUUGUGCAGAGCCUGUGCUCAAGGAAAACCAAAUUAAUUCUUGGGAAGUUGAGGAUAAGUAGUUUCAGCAAUCUGUACUUCAUUCUCGCUCUCGCCACAACGCUGGGAAGGUUGGGCUGUUGGGUGAUAUGUCCAGCAUUCCCAUUUUGUAUCGCAUCAGAGCAAAAUCUGAAUUUGUUAGUGCCUCAAUGUUAGAUGGGAUCUUUAGUUCCUCAAUAUAUUUGCCUCAGUUGCACUAGAAAUCAAUGUCCGUACUUCCACAAUUUUGCACUAAAAGUUACAUCGUGUCAAAGAUGAUGGGAUUUACACUUAUUUCACUUACUUAACUUAAGAUUUAAUAGUAUGAAAAUGCAUUCAUUUCCUCUGCAUUGAUAUGACAUAAUACUAUCGGAGUGAAACAGGGGGUCUAAAGGAGAACAGAGGUUAGACUAUAUUAGUAACAAGUAAACCUUUUGUGUGUAUUUACAAAUAUUUGGGGAAUAAAUACCAAUCGUAAGGUCUGAGACGACCCAGAAAGCACUUGAUCAUAUCAUGAUUAAUUUUGUAAGCCUACUUGGGUAUUGAGUAUUUACUUGUAAAACUGAAUUCUUUGGAAUCGAUAUUUGCAACUCCGGAAAAAGAAUUCAGUAAAAUUUUUCUUACAUUGAACCCUUUAUAUUAUAUAUGUGUGGAUAUAGGUAAACUUUAGCCGCACAACUUCAUUAAUUCUAGAAAAGUUAAAAGCUCUGAAUGAGAUUUUGCGUCCGGUAAUACAUGGGAUGCCUUCUCUAUUGAUUAUCAAUUGGAAACUGCUGAUAGUGAAACUCAAACCCGAGCUUCUCUUGAACAAGGCGAACGAUCUUUACUAGCUGUGGCAACUCUUAUUGGCUUUAUGGUUAGUCGCUAUUCACUCAAUAAUCUAAAAUACAAAACGUCCCAAUGUCAUAACUGAGGGAGUAUUAUAAUUUUGAUUUUGAUUCAAUGUCCUCAAUAAUGAUAGUUGGAAUGUUACAGAAGAAAUAUGGUCCUUGCAGAUUCUCAGCAAGACACAUGUUUGUAGUUGGUUUUGAGUAGGCCUGUUCAUCGGCGGGUCUAGACCCGGAUCCGGAGCGGAUCCGUGAAAUUAUUGUGGGUAUGGGUAUGGAUUUAAUUCCAUUCCCAGAUCCGUUUUGUCAAACAAAAAAACGGGUCGGAUACGAAAUAUAGUAUUCCGACCCGUAUUAGAUCCGGAUUCGGAUAUAAAUGAAUUAAUAAUUUAAAUAUAUAUAUUUAUCAAUAUAAUUUGAUUAGGGUGAUGUAUUUUAAUAAGUUAAUUUGAUUUCUUUUCUUAUUGGGUUUUUCUUUGCAUUAGUUAGAAAUUAGUUUACAAAUAUAUUUUUUUCUCAUUUUAAUUAGAAAUUAUAAAUUUUGAUAAAUUUGUUCGGGUAGACCAGGAUCCGGAUCCGGAUCCGGGACCCGCCGGAUCCGGAUCCGGAACAUAGAAUAAAAGACCCGUCGGAUAAACGAGUCGGAUCCGAAUCCGGCAUAGUAAUUCGGGUCCGAGCCCGAAAUAAUGAAUUUCGAUCGAAACCCGACCCAUUGACAGCCCUAGUUUUGAGUGCUUUGGAAUCAUAAAUCUUCUUAGGUAGGACUCGUAAUUGUGUAUCUCAGGAAAAGUGAGCAGUUCUAGAAAUUCUCCAGAAAUGAUGGACGACUUGUCCAAUUUGCUAUUUCUUGAUUGCCGCCAAUGCCAAUUGGUAACAUCAUCAGCACCUUUCAUAUCUCUUGAAAAAGAGAAUGAUGGACCGGACCCGCCAUUGUUCAUUUCUUCAUCAAAAUGGACAUUAUUGACCAUAACCAACCAAACAACAAAAAGUUGUUGCCCGCGGAUAAGGAAACUAUAUAUGACGAGACGUAAUUGUAAAAUUUAUAACUAUCAACACUCUCGAGUGUUGACUACAUAUUUUGAUUCCAAAUUUCGUACUAGUAUUGGAUGUUUUGUGAUUUUUUUGUGUCAGUUUUCUCAAUGUUGCCUUCAAAUUUUUUUUUUAAAUUAAUACAUGUUUCACUCAUUAUAACAGUAGAAUAAAAUAGAUAAGACUUAAAAAAAUAAAAGAAAUCAAUAUAGAAGUAAAUUUCUUACUGGUUUUAAAAAUUAGAUUGUGCUAGAAACUAAGAGAGGAUCUCAAGGCAAAAAAAAAAAAAAAAGAAAAAGAAAGGGAAUCACUAACAUGGACGUUAAUAUAAAUUUACUCUUAUUCUCGAGGUGGCAUUUAGGCUUUUUUUUCCUUAAUUUUUUUAACAUUAAUGGUUCCUCAACUUUGAAAAGGUGAUUUAACUAUUUUUUUUGAGUAGGCAAAAAAAGGUUUAAGAAUUCUUUUGGGAGAAGAAUGAUUUAAAAUACGUGUAUCAUCAAUACGUGUCCUUAGUAAGAAUCUCAUUUUAUUCUUUUUUUUUUUUGAAGUUUUAACAACUACUAACAAAGUAAAAAAUAAAUAAAUAUAGCAUACUACAAAAUAAAAUGAAAUAAUUAUUUUUUUUGCUAUAUUUUGUUUUUGUAGUCUAUUGUAUUUUAUUUCUUACCCGGUUAAGAGUUAUUGAAACUUUAAAAAGAAAAUGAAUUAUGAAAAUGAGACGGGAAAAAUUGAAAAAAAAAAACACACACACACAACACCGUAAUGGAAAGAUACGUAAUGCCUGCGCAGUAAGAACUAGUGUUCCAUUCUCAGUACUUAUCGGACCUACAGGCCGCAUUAUGCGCAUGUUCUUCCACUAUCAGCAAAAAAAAAUUAAGGGAACUAGUGGUGUUCUUUUUAUUGUUUCAGCCGUCUGGACUCUGAACUAAGUUCAGGCAAUAAUAAUGAAGGAACAUUCAUGGCUUUGCACUUUCAUCACACAGAUUUCCCUCUGUUUCUGUGUUUACCUAGCAUUUAACAUGGGUGACAGAACUGAGAGUAGCAGCAGGCCUGUUGAGACGUACUUUAUGAGUGUUGCAGGAGGUUUUAGGCCUGAAAAUGAACAGACCCUUCUUCUCAAACUGGUCAGUUUCUCGUAGUUUGCAUGGCUUUCUAUUGGUAAUAAAGAAAAUUUUGUGCUUUUUCAUCCCUUUUCAUUAGAUACCGGGUUUUUAAAUUAGAGGUUUGGAUUAUUGGGUUUGAACUGUUGGUCUAAUCUGUUUUAUUUGGUGACUUUGAAGGUUGUUUCUUGGCUGAUUUAAUUACUGCUUUGUUGUUAGAUUAUGGCCGAAAGGCAUUCUUGUACAGAGAUCAUUUUCUAUUGUUCAUCUGACAGUACUAUUACUGAUAGGAUUUUCUCUGUAGUUUUAAUAUGAAUGUUUGUUUAUUAGCUGUUCCAAUUUAAAGCCAUCCAAUUAUGCGGUGAGAGUUUUGCUUAUAUUGUCAUCUUGCUUUUGUGCUUGAUUUGACUGGAAAUUUCGAUUCUCUGUAAUGUUGAUGCAGAUGGAGAAGGUGGCAAAAGUGUACAAAGUACAAUUUGUAGUGAGCAUUAGUGAACUUGGGAAAUGAUCCUCUCGCCUGAAUGUAAGGCAUGACUUUUUAAUCGUUUAAAUGCACCUUUAUGCUGGAUUGUUCACCCAGUUCGAAGUUACCUAGAUAAGCACAAUUAGGUAAAAUUUGCUUGGUUAGACGUGUACAUAUUGAAAAAAUGACAGGCAAUCAAUAAACUCAAUACAGGAAUCGCUAACAUUAGAAACUAGCAAUGGAUAUUUUCUCAGUCACCUACCUACCUGUCUCCUGCAGAAAAGAUUACUGUUUUUGAUAUUGCUGUAAAUAUAUGUACUAAUGGUGGAACUGAUUUCGUCUGCUGUUGUAAUAAAUUCUACUUCUUCUCAAAGUACGGUUUACUCUUGUGAGGAACGGUUGUUUGUAGUCACCUACACCUGAUUUAUUUGUGCCAAAUAGUUUCAUGAAUCUGAUAAUUUGUGCAUGGUUCAUCAUCUCUUGAAGUUUCCUCAUAUAAUUCCGUUCUGUAGAGCAAAAUACAUUUCAUCUUGAACUUGUUCUUUUGAAGUAUCCUUGUGGUAGCAAAAUUUAGUUUUAUAGCAAAAAAUUACACCAGUCACAUUAUGGGUCUGAUUGGGAUCUCAUCAGUUAUUUAGGAUCUUGUUUUUACUUGGUAGUUUUAGCUAUAAGCAACUAAAAUGCAUUCUUUCCUAACAGGCCACGUGGUAUUUUCAGUCUCUAAAACUUCCCUGGUAUACCAUCCUUUACCAUGUCUGACUUUGGCAGUCUUAGUUGGAGGUUCAAAUUUGUUUAAAGUCCUUUUUCCCAAUUUCUCUUCAGCUGCUGUAACUUGUAGGUACACAACAAAAUCAUUCAAAGGACAAAGACCUGGUUCCUACCUCAAGCAUACAAAAGUUCAAUAUGGGAAAACCUUAGAUAUUGUAAUUGUGAAUACAGAGUUAUUUCAGGUAUGAAUCAUGCUUAACACAUGAACUUGAAUAUUCCCUUUCUUGCAAAUAAUAGUAGUCAUUUAAUUUUCUGAUGUAUCAUUAAAAGUCAAUUGAUGUUGAGGGUACAUGUUUUUGGUUUGUUUGAUUGGGAACAGUUCGUAUACUAGCAGGGUCAAGGUAGGGUUGGCAACCCUUGACUUUUCAAAUAGUGCUUUCUAGUUCUUUGAAUCUACUGUUGUGUUUAAGGGGUAUACAUCAUAGAAAUCUGCAGAAGAUCCUGUCCGUAAUUGGUGGCCCCAGUUUCUGUGCUAGAUGCAUCUAUACUAUGAAUUAGUUUCCCCAUUUCAAGAUUUUGCCUCCAUCCCUGUUUUCAGUGAAACCAUUUAAGGACAUUACCUGAAGUGUACAAUUUUGAGACAUGGUUUUGAUGCAUGGUUCUGAUGAUGAAUUGAAAUGAAGAAGAAAUACCAUGUGCAGGAAUGCUAGAUGCAUGAGCCUAAAUGAUACUCGAAACGUGUUAUUCUCUUCGGAAAAUAGAUCAUAUAAGAACCUGGAAAUCUCAAGGAAAAACCAAGUUUCCCAGUAAGAUGGACAUGGAAAUUAUCAAAGCUAAGGAGAAAGUGGCUUAAGUAGCAUUUACUUUUGUCUUACAAUUGCCUGGGGAUUUGGAUUUGAUCUUAUUCUUUCUUUACUUGAACAUAAUCCCACCAUUCACUUUAUACCUUCUAAACUUGUUUGGUUUUAAGGGGAGUUCAAUGUACUAAUUAAAAGUUCAGGUCAAUAUGUAUAAAUGUUCAAAUUCGGAAGCAAAAAGCCUACAUUCAAGAGAUUACAUCACAUGGUAGGCAUUGAAAAUGUUCAGUUUCGGAAUAAAGAGAUGCCUAUAUAUAUUACACAUAAGCGGUUCUCUUGCCCUCUCCAAAAGCAUGGUUCGCAAUAUGUUUCAGUAUCGGCUGAGUUGUAACCGGAACAGAGGGACCGGUUUUAUACCCAUCCCGAAUCGCGAAUAUCACUAUAUCCACGACGACUCGCUCUGACUCGGCCGAUAUUGGCCGAUUCAAAUCCGUGAUGCAUGAUAUCGGCCGAUAUAUCCAAGUCAACUCGGAAUUGACUCAGAUUUUUUUAAAAUUGUGUCUUUUUUUGGUAUUUUCUAAUUUUAGUAAUUUUUUAAAAAUUUUUGGAAACUUUCAUGUGCUAUAUAUGUGCAUAUCACCCAAUAUUCAACCGAUAUGCCGCGAUGGAUGUGGAACAACCAAGACCGCGACACAACCGUGACCCGCGAUGGCGAACCAUGCCCAAAAUUAUGCUCCACUGUAACUGCACAAUCCCUGUUAUUAAGCUCUUCUCAUCCGUCUUAUAGCCCCGCAUUUAUGAGUUUUGACAGGUUUCCUAGAACUAGAUUUCACUUGAACCUUUUUAUACCUAGGUCCCACCCUUUUGGCAGUCCUUGCCUAAUGUCAUAGAUCAGCUUGAGUGAUGAAAGAGCUACUAUGUUUUGCUCCGUACUUGAACCAGCUAAUUGUUAAUCUUGUAAUGGUGUCCGCAACUGUUAAAUGAAUAAGAAGAGAAGAAGAAACAUACUUCCAUUUCCUAGUGGACCAUUAUGGUCCUUAGCUGCAUACUUCACUAACUAUUUUCCUGCACUCUCGUUUUCAUUACCUCUUAACAAACUUGUAUUCUCCAGGGCCCUUCAGCUGGUGCUAUUGAGCAUCAGUUACUGUGGCUCAUGAAGACACUGGAAGAAAGCACCAGUGACUGGUAAGCUAUAGCUGGUAAGAUAUUUAUUGGAAAUGGACAAAAAUUAAUUUAAUGUGAACAAUGAUGUGGCUUAUCUUCCUGGAAAUAAGAUUGUCAACUUUGGAACCAAUUUCAAGGGUAAAUGAAAAGUAGCUUUUUUCUUCUGAAAAUUUUUUGCGCAACUAUUGUGUAGCUUAGUUGUAUGACUAUGCAGUAAAAGAAUAAAAAACCAAUGGUCUAAAGCUUAGAAUCUUGCACUACUUCUUAAAGAGGAUUACAUUUCUUCUUUCAAGGCCUGUUGCUACCUUCCGUGGCAGCUUGCUCCAUACUUUUUACAUUCAACCCACUGUCAAUUAUUAACAUCUUCUGGUUUGCUUUUUGGUUUUCCUAUUGGGGCAAAAGGCGCAUUGUUGUUGGUUUCCACCCACUGUUAGCUUGUAAUGGAAGUACGGAAGCUAAAGACAAUCCUCUGUGUCUUCAUGAAAUGUUUUUGAAUCAUCGAGUGGUGAGUGGUAGUUUUGGCAAUCAAAUUCUGUCCAUAGCAUUCAAAUAGUAAACCUUCAAUGCAAACACCUAUUCCCAAAAUUCCUGACAUAACUGAAUUCAAAGGCCCAUACUUCUCUGAUGUUUCAUGUAUCUUCAAGCUUCCUCCUGAAUCUCCUGAAUCUUUGCAUAUGAACUUUGUCCUAGUAGGACGCUUACCUCAGUGGCCAUGCUUGUACCGAACAUGUUCACAAACAGAGUGCAAAACAGCCUGGUAAUGCUGAUCAACCGGGCAAAGGACCUUGUCUUACUCCAAUUCGUAGGAUAUUUGAUCAAAACAAGUGAGUGCUUCAUCCUUGUUCUAAUCUUCUAAGGUGAUGUUUAUGCCUGAAGCAUUAUUGAUAACCAUCUUCUACUGUUUUGUAUCUUUUCCAGGGAAAAGGUGAAUGGUUUGCUUCUACACAGAGUCAGUUCCUAGAACUGGUGAGUGUUAACAUGUUAUGAUUUGUCCUUUGAAUAAUCUAAAUUUUGAACUUCUGUAACCUCCAAUUUUUUUUUUUUUAUAACAGGUAACUUAUUCAAUAAACUUGGAGGGGGAUGUUGCACACAAGAUUGAACUUCAACAAAGUGGUAGAGAAGCCAUGUGAUGUGCUCAAAGACCUUAUAAUCAUCCCAAAGCCUUGGUGCUUGUUUUGCUCUACCUUUUGUCUUCUGUAUAGAUUUUCAAUUAUUUUCAUAAUUUUAAAUACCAUGUCUUUGAUCUCUUUCUGAGUUUCUGGCUUAACAGUAACAAUCUUUGAUUUGGUUCCUGAGGUACCAUAUUAGGUCCUGCAAUUUAAGCAUACUGAGUGGUACAUUUGCUGGAGUUGUUUCUUGUACCCUUUAUGAGAGGCUUGUUAUUCUUGCGUCUGGUCUUUGUGGAUAAGGUCAGGAGAUACACAUCCUUUCCACUACCAAUUGAUAUGCUAAAAGUCUUCCCUUUCCAAGAUAUGCAACCAUGAGCAAGUCAUUCCUUCCAAGAUAAAGUUUUGAGCACUCCUAUUAACAUGACCUUACAGAAAACGGCUGAAUUAUAUGGGUAAAAUUUUUGCAUGUUGCCCCCUUAUAUACCAAAUAACUUUGAAGAAUCUUGAUUUACAAAGCAUGUGAAUGAACGUUCUUUAUUCGAAACUGUAGAGAGAUAGAAUUUUCACAUAGUCGACCUUUUGUUUUCUAGUCAAGUCCUACAAAUUUAUUCACUAGUAAGUUGUAAAAUUCUAAAGUUGUCUUGACAUUAUCAUUCCGAUGGGAUUAGAAACUGGGCUGUACAGUCUUCCAGUCGCUUUAUUUUUCUAUACAUACGUGUUAAUCGCCUUGCUUCUAAGUUACUCUUGAGCGUAUGUUGGUUUUGGCCGACUUUAAUUCUUAUGUAUGUGAACUGUUCUACUAGGUGCGGUUUUGGUGAUAUAGAAUAGAGCUGGUUGCCUUCCAAAGGGCCUUGGUGCAAUUCUUUCUUGAUCUUUUUGUGCCAUGAUCAUAAAUCUCCGACAAGUGGAAUUAGUCUUUCUAGGUAUUCACUUGUUGGAUUGUAGAAAUUGAUCCUAGGGUCUCCCAAUUGUCAGGUUCCAUAAAUUGUAGAGAAAUGAUCCUAAGGUCUAUUGUUGGAGAAAUUGAUCCUAGACUAUUUUGUUAAAUUUUGUGUUCAAGAAAUUGAUCAUUGUCUCCUGUUGAAUUUUGGAGUCCUCGAACAUCGAAUAUACUGGGGUUCUCAACUUCAUAAAAUUUGCCUAAUCAGCAAAUCGGCCAAAGAUAUCAAGGGAGGGAUCCUGUAGAGAUUAUACUCGAAGUUAUAUUGUGUUUGGUGUUGAACAGUUGUCUAAGUUAUUGGUUGUGCUCGCCUCGAUUAAGCCAUCUGCCAAGUGACACCCAAUCCAAUGUAUGAAGUUGGAAGGGAAGGCGGCUAUGAAAGGGAGGCGAAGCAGAGUUGACAACUACCGAGAUUGAUCCUCUGCACACCGAGUCAUGGCACUCACAUUGAUCCUCAGCGCACCCACGAAGAGCCCCCCCCCCUCUCUUUUAUGUUCCAAACUGCUAUUCGCUACUUACUAUUAAACGAUGCAAUAUGUUUUACCUUUUUAAGUAGUGGUGUGUAUUAGUUACUUGUUUUGAAGUUUUGCUUCUUAUUGAGAAACUAUGUAUAGUUUUGAGAUGCAGGAAAAACCUGUAGGUCCUUGCACCAUAUAUCUAGUCUUACAAUUCUGAGGUAUCACUGUUAACAAUUCUAGAUCAUCAACACUUGCAUAAUGAGGCUGGCUUAGGUAAUACACCUAAAUAACUGUAGUUGUAUGGCUGGAAACCUUGAGGUACCCAGUCCCUUUGCUAUUUCGAGACACACUGCUGGCACAGUGGUCUUUCUUUCUGCAACAUUCAACCUUCCUCCAUCUUAAAUCUGAUCAUUGAGUAUAGUGAGUAGGGUCCAUCCUAAUAGGAUUAGAUUUUGAAGAAUCUAAUGUUAACAAAUGAUGAAAGAAGUAAUAUGAACUUUUACAUCUGGAUUGAAGUCAGUUGAUCUCAGCAUAUGUAGAUGACAGCUUUGACCAAAUUAAGAAUAUAUUUUACUCAUUGUUAAUUUGCACCUCACUUGUAAUUUGGAAUUCUAGCAGAAGAGAAGUUUGUUUGACAAGAAAAAAUCGGCUGAAGCUGAUAACUUAAGCAUAAAGUAAAGCAGGUUGACUCACUUAAAACUUUGAUUUUGAAAAGAAGUAGUGAUAGUAUGCAUGCCCUUUCAUCGUGAUAGAACAGCAGUUCAAGUUUGACUGUUACAUAGGCUAUCAAGUGAUGCCCCAUAUUGGUUGAUUACAUGAGCCAUACAAAUGAGAGUGGAUAAUAUAUAAGAUUAGAAAUUCAUAUAGAAUCAUCACUUCUACUUACCAUGUGAUUAAGCAAUAGAUUUGUUCAUGUGGUAUAGUAUUGUGAAGAAUUUGGUUUAGUGAUCUCCUUCCUCUCUCUACUCCUCCAUACCUCACCAACCAAUGCCAAGCCACCAAAAAUAAGUAAAUAAAUUGAUUGAAAUAGGAAACAGAAAGUGUAACAAAUCCAGAAAAUUGUAACUUAAGUAAGAAUAUUUGACUGUGAACCGAUAUGUGAAAAGAUUAUCCUUCAUUGUACUCUUGCUUUGGGAGGAAUGCAGGCGUUCAUGGAUCAUACAUGCACAAUAUCUCAUGGAAUCAAUUCAACCUAUGAAGAUAAUUUGUUUUUUCAUUCUUAGCUUUGCGAUAUAGGCCUUUAGUAUGUCCAUUUGAUACAUUGGUGCUUCAUCUCAUAAUAUAAUAGAUAUCUUUUCCUUGCAUAACUUGUAUUAGUGGUGUAUUGCUUGACCUUUCUUACUAGAUGACAUUGCUGCAUAUUGUCUUCGAUGAUACUUACUUUUCAACACUAUAAUUUCUAUUCUGUUGCCAUAAAAUUUGAAGUGCUUUUAGAGCAACCUGAUAUUUGAAAACUUUGGGGAAUAGUUCUAUUAUGGACUCAAUCCAAUACUGCUCUUGAUAAGGGAAGCAAAUGAAACCACCGUAUUUGCACCUUAGGAUGUCCUUGUCUCUCCUUCAGAAGGGGGAAGUUGGUCAAAUUGUACAGUUAAUGUAGUUUACGGGGAAUAUCAACUGUUUUUUGAUUUACCUGAAGUAUAUUCUAAGUGCACCUUGUAUAUUUGCUAUCACAACCUUUUGGCCUUUUGGUAAUUGAGGGGUCAUUUGGUUUAUGAGAUGAUGCAGGAUUGCAUUAUUAAUCGUGUCAUCCUGUUUUGCUGUGUUUCUGGUUGGGAUCCAUUAUCCCAUUCUCAAAUUUUGUCCUAUAGACUAGCAAUACAUCCUUGUUAUUGAUGUGCAAACCAAACUUAUUCUCUUCCGUUUUGAUUUCCCUGUAUAUAUGUGUGUUAUAUCCACUCCAAUUGUAUUAUCUGCUCUUUUGUAUUUUAACGUGAUUGUGAUUGAUAUGGUUUUGUGUUGUAAGUAUUUGAUGGUAAUAUCUUGGGGAAGAUCAAAUAGAGGCACACAUAAAAAGAGAUGCACAUGGACAACCACACACACAUGCAGGUUUUUUUUGGGGGGUUUUUGAGGGGGGGGGGGGGGGGGGGAGAGGUGAAGGACCGCUUAGGAGAAUGAAAUGGUUUUGGGAGCUCAAGCAUCUUCCUCGUGUCAAUCUCCAUACCUUUGUGACAGAUGACUCCAAAGUCGUCUUAUGAUUUUUUUGGCAAGCAAGACUGACUUAGUUUGACCUUCUGUGGGGGAGAAAAGGGGCAAAGAAUAAAUGAAGGUGAAAAAACAGAGGAUCAUGUUAAUAAACAUCAAACUUAAGAAGAUCUUCAACAAAGAAAAUGGCUUGUCACCCUAUAGAUAUAAUUGAAUGCAACAUCCAGGAAAAAACAGACUUGGUUUGUGUAGCUGUACUUAGUAGCUGAUUUAUCGUUCGUCUUUUGGAUGUUUAUUUUUAGUUUGUGUCCUUUUUGCCAAAUAGUCGAUAAAGAGCUGAAUUGGAAUGCAAAGGGGAUUGUGAAUAAUAGUUAAGUGCUUGGGUAAUAUCUAGUUAGGAGGGAAAGGAAUACUGAGGUCUUUUAAGUUGCUCCUCCCAAAUAGUUAAUGUUACUGAGUUCUAGGGAAGCGGCCUUCUUUAUGUUGGUAUCUGCUGUUUGUUCUUAAGCUUUAUGUUGGACUGGGUAACCUAGUUAGAAGUAUAUAUUGGCUUCGAGUGAAUAAAGAUUCAGUUCAUGAUCAAAUUUGACAAGCAACGUUUUGAUGUACGAUGUGUUUUCUCCCAGUAAUUAUUAGUUUGGAAUUCGAUAGACAGAACGAAGAUAUCUGAACUCGCUGCAAUCAUGCUUGUGCUAUGCUGUCAUCUUUUUGACAAAGAUGAAUCAUUUUGAGAUCAACAUCUCCCAUCUUUAUCCCACGAACCUUGCCUUCGUUGCAUUGCAUCAUGUGCUGACAAAGUUUGUGAAGUGCUGAAGUCCCAUCCAUCAUCUUUUGCAGUGGGACAGCAGAGCAUUUUUUACAAUUAUGUUCAUGGGAUAAGGUAAAAAUUGAAAUCGGGCAUUUUGUUACUGUUAUUUAGCAAAGGGAAGCGUGGACUUCUGGUGUAAAAAAACAAAAAAACAAAAAAAAAAAAGGCAGACGGGUUGCUUUAGCUGAUAUCAAUGAGAAAAGCCAAUUUUCUGCUGAAACUACAGAUUCAAGAUGUGCAGUUUACAUAUUGUACUCUCAAAACACUACUACUGUACUAUAAUAAGAAGAAAAAGUUUGCCCUGUGGUGUGGUGCUCUUCCCAUUCACGACACGGAUAGACUAAUGGUAGAAUGCUGCUGCUCCCAUCAACUUCAGUCAAUGAAUUUCCGGAAACGCAACUUCCAACUUGGAAGUCACGGAUUACGAUGGUUUCUUUAAGAUUUAAUAACUAAAAAAUUGUUAGGUGGGAAAUUCAUAUACUACAUUUUAUUACAGCUAAAGAUAGCACUAGAAGUCUUUUCAUGAUGGUGAAAGUUUGAAUCUGAGAAAUCUAUCUUCAAUUUUUUUUUUUUCCUUCCCAAACGCUAUCUUCAAUUUUGUUUUGUAGUUAAAAUGUGUACUCAGCACCACCAUGGUUUUGGACCUCAGCCACUUUUUGAGGUCUAUUCUGCCGACUUAUCGUCCAUGAUUUGAUUUCAUAAUCAUACGUCAAUGACAAAUAAAUGGAGCAUCUCUAAUUCCUUUCCCUUUGCUUUAAUUAAAUGGUGUCUUUUGCUAUUUUCUUUUUUUAAUAAUCUUUUUUUUUUAUUCAUUAGUCAUCUAAUGAAAUUAGUGGCUCUAGAAUGAAGAGACGAUGUGAAAAUUAAAAAAAAAAUAGAAAAGAGGAAAGAAGGCAAAGAAAAAUCGAAAUUAAGAUUAAAGAGAGGCAAUUUUGUCUCAUGAGGUAAAGCGACACAACUGAAAGGUUAGGAAAUAAGGUGAGAAUGAGGCCAUACCUAAAGGGGAUUUAUGGUAAUUAACCCUAAAUUUCUACUUCAAAUGAUUUGAGAAGGUCAUGAGUAAAUGCAUCCCAACAUUAUUAUUAAUAUUUUCUUUGUGGGAGAUAGAUGUCUAAUUCGAAUUAAUAGGUGACUUCUCGUGGUGAAGUGCGGGUUUUUUGAGUUCAAAAUGAUUUUUGGGCAUGCUACUUGAUCUUUAGAUGUCAAAAGGUCAUUGGACUGCUGUCCUUUCUUAUUAGUUGGUCUUGCUUUAGGAAAAGAGCUAGUAGUACUGUGUAGUUGGAUUUCAUGCUAUUAUUUCGAUUGGACUUUUGUGAUGAAACCUUUCGUUAUAGUUAUCAUAUUUGUCUAAACGGAAGGUUACAUGAUUUGUCAGAUCACCUAAGCAGGAUGUUAUCAUGUUUUCUCUUUUCACAUUUGCACUAAGAGAUGAGGCUGCAAAAAUUUCCUUGUCAAUUCGUUUCCAAAAAAAAAAAUUUUUUUUUUUUUGAUACAAAUUGCAAAGAUUUUGGUAACACAUUAGUUUAGCAAUAAUUUAAAAAUCUUACUAGCGGGUUUAAACUAUAAUGGAAAAUCAUACUGGGCUUCAGAAAAAUGUAGCACUAAAACUAAUUAUGAUUACUAGCGGGUUUAAAAGAGUAAAGUGAUAGUGCCAAACUAAUUAUGAUUUUUCUCUUUUUUUUUUUAUAACUGGGAGAUUUUGAAUUCAAGAACUCAUGCUUACAAUCAAAUCAAAAUUUGGUUUUGCGUAUUAUGCAGUCAGCAAUCAAGUAAAACCUUCUUUGGCAAAGCUAAGUUUGUUUGCUACAAGUCUUUUAACAAUUUUAGCUGCAAUAAUCUCAAAAAAUUUCUCAAAGUUUUUAAACUAUACAUUUCAAAAUAUCCAAAAAAUUACACACUUCAAAAAAAUUUUCUACAGCUUCUACCGUAAGUUACAAAAAAAUUUCCACAUGAGACCUAACUAAGUUUAACAAUUUCCACAGUUAUUUUUGUUGCUCAUCCUGAUGAGGCCAAGAGAUAUGAUGCUUAAAUAACUAGUCUUCUGAACACCACCAAAACCAAUUAAUUAAUUGUUCCGGUGAAAACAGUUAUCUAUCUAAAAGUCAAAGAAUCACAAUCUUAGAAAGAAUAGGUUCUGUGGCUGUCAAUGAGUUAUCACACGACAAUUCUUGAUCAAAAGUAAGACCAGCUAAUCAGUCACUACUGGAGAAGGAUUAACUUUUCCCGAAGUUAAUUUAGGUUUAGAAAAAGAAGUCUUUUGGUAUAAAUUUCCUUACGGGACAAAAUUCAAUGAUGACAACAACCAUUCUGGUUUUUUUUUUUAAAUUUUUUUUUUGUUUUGGUUGCUGUGGGGGGGGGGGGGGGGGGGGGCUCUGAAGUAAGUGGUCUAAAGUGGUUAAGUUAAGAUGUGUUCGUUGACCAAAGCACCACAGCUCCUAUGAAGGCAACUUAAUUUAGGUAAGAAUUCAGACAUUUGAGUCAAUGGCUUAGGGAGAAUUCUUUGUAAGUUUAUCUUUGGACUUUGUGUGUUUCUCGUUUGUAUCAAGUUGUCAAUUGGACGAUUUGGACAGAACUCAAAAGCAGCCGAAAUUAGCAAAUCAACAACAAGAAACAAGUUUUCAUUAUUGAGAACUGAGAACCCAAAAGCAUUGACAAGAAAUGUUUAAUCUCUAAGCCUAAAAAGAAGGACAGAAGUCUUUUAUUGUAACCAUGCACUUAAGGUUUGAUUUCGCCAAGCUCUACCUCCUUGAUGUCUAUUCCCAUUUACGUAUUAAAAGGAUUGUUUUUUUUAUUAUUAUUAUUUGCUUUAGUUAUUUUCUUACCUUUUGGAUUUUUUUUUUUUUGGAGAAUUGAUCACCUUUUGGAAUUCAUUCCAAUUAACUAUGAGUUUCAGAUUAAGAACUUUUGUUUCGUCUAUUUCCUCAAUAAUCAAUUGAUCAUGACUCCGAAUUUGUUUACGUGCAUUAGAAUAACUUAAUGGCACAAUUAAAUAUUCUUUAAAUAUAUGUCAUACAUGAUUUAUAAAAGGGUAAAAAAACAAAAAAGUCCCCGUGGUAAACCUAAUAUACAGAAAAAAUCCUCCGUGAUUUUAAAACGUACAACACGAGACCUCAUGUUUUGAACUAAAUUGUUAAGAUGACGGAAUCCGUUAAACUUAACGAAAAUGGAUGAAAUGAUAAAAAUGUCCUAAUAUAAUUAAGCAAAAGACAGGUCAACAAAAUUAUUUGUUUUAUCCUCUAGAGAAAGAAAAUUAAGAGUUAAGGGGAAAAACAGGUAUAUUUGUUAAAAAUUAGAUAUAAUUUUUUUUUUAAAUUCUAAUAAGCCAUUUCCGUCAAGUUUAACGGAUUCCGUCAUCUUUACAAUUUAGUUCAAAACAUGAGGUCUCGUGUUGUACGUUUUAAAACCACGGAGGAUUUUUUCUGUAUAUUAGAUUUACCACAAAAGGUUUUUUUUUAUUUUUUACCCUUUAUAAAAGUGUAAAUUGGUCAUUAAUUGCUUGAGUAUUGCAAAAAUUGAAUGGGGUCAAUUUGAUGAAAAAAAAAAAGAAAGAAAGAAAACGCUUCUGUUAGAGGUCCGAAAGUGAUGGAAAACAAAGGGUGUCUUUUACAUAAUUGACCAACUUGGAACUUUUUUGGAAAAUGAUAAAAGCAAGAUAUAAUGUACACACUAAAAAUUAAUCUUCUUCUUCUAAUAAGCUGGAGAGCACUGGAUUUAUUCCGAAUUACUCAAAACAAGAACUGGAUUUUGUAAUGACCAUACAAGAGACGAAUAUUUUUGGAUUCUUCUUGAAAGGUACGUGCGUGUUGUGGAAGGAUAGAAUAAGGGCGACUUUGCUUAAGAGAGACAAUUGGUAUAAUUAAACCUGUAAAUGCAGGUGAGUUAAAUGUGUUUGCUUCCCGUGUUGUCUAAUGCAUCAUUGGGCUCCAAAGGUAAGAGAAGGGGGGCGGGGAGUCCCGUCUAGCGUGUUCUCACCUUUUGGAAUGGCAUUUUUCUUCAAAAAAAAAUUUCAUAUUUUUCGUAAAUAUAUUUUUUUAUAAAAUUACUUUUUUAUCUUACAUACAUUAAAAUCGUUGUAAUAUAAUUUUUCUACAAAAAUUACAAGAAAAAGCAAUCCAAACAAUACACAGUCCAAUUCUUUUACGAAACUAUAGCAUAAUUGCUUCACUCUUGUCCCUUUCUCUUCCUCUGAAUUUUGAUAGUAUCCCCUUUAACUUCGUAAUUGUCCCCUAAAAGUGUGUGAACCCUUACGACCAUCUUCAACAUUUCUAUGAGGAAACAUUGAACUAAAAUAUAUAACAAGCUGAUACUUUUUUCCUUUCUAAUAAAUGUUAUUGUAACGCUGUGUGAAUUGAUUGAUUAUAUCAUUUAUUUUUUCAUACUAAAUUUUAUUUUAAGGUUCUGAAUUCUAAUCCCUCAUUCCCUUUCCCCCCGCUUAUACACACACGCGCGCGCACACACAAUCCCAUAUAUAUUUUAAAGUUUACGCUAAUCACUCCUAUACACUAAAAUAUAGGGGGAGAAAAAGGAAAAACUGACCUUGAGACAAGUAGGACAUUUUUACACAAGAUGGAUCUGAACCAUUAAUGUAUGUUUGGAUUGUCGAAUAAUUUAGCAGUUUAUGAGAUGCAAUUGGACAUGUCAAAUGAAUCUAUUGGCAAUCUCAAGCAUAAUAAUAGAGCCAUGAAACCCUAAAGAUGUGAGAAAUCCACUUCCAUUUCGUCCUUUAAUUUCCAUCUAAAGAAAGCGUUGACCUGAAUGGAUCACACACACAUGCACCACUUGCAGUUCCCUUUUCCUUUUCUCUGAAGAGCUAAAGAACCACGGACACAGACUAUUGUACUAGCUUAGCCAGAAUAAUUAAUUUAAACCUUCAAAAAAAAUUUUAAAAAGAAGGGAUAAUUAAGGUGAACCAUUGCUGUCAGGGACUUUUUCAAGGCAGCACGAGACCCUAUUUUGAUCCUUAAUCUCCGUAGUUAUUAUCUUGACUUAAUUCAUUAAUUAAUCCUGUUUCAAUCAUGUAAUUACUACUGAUACCAUCCAUUACAGUCAAAAUCAUCACAGCUCAUCCUCACAUCAUUAGUAAGAAAGCCCAGCACAUGAUCAUACCAAUAUUUAAUGUAAAGAAAAAGAAAAGACAUAAUUCUCAGUGAGUUGCAUAAACUUAUAAAAAAAAAAUAUUAAAAGAGAAAAGAAAAAGGAAUUCAUUUGGAAUUUUAGAUGGAUCUGUCCUCCUGUACUUUUGUUAGCUUCAAGUUAAGCUUCGCUUCCUCGUGCCAAGUCUAUCACUUCCAAAUACGGCGUCGUGCUGCUUACGCAUUUGGGUGGACUUGACGGCCGUCGACGAGAGUUUCAAACUUCGAAUCAAACGCAGUGCAGUCUUUCUCCACUAAACAAGGGUCAGUCAACAGUCAACGCCGUUACGACUCCCAACUUUCAAGGCUUGGAAACGGAAGCCGCGUCUUUGACGGAAGAGGGCUCUCCACCAGGUCCGCCACCACCGCUAACCAUCGUGGCUGACUGAACGGUCAACACCGACAUGCUAGGAGAUGAGGGCCCACCGGCUUCACCAACCCCGUUACCGCUAGCCCCACCUCCCAGCCCCAGAAGCGGGUUGUUAGCGCCAUUGCCGGUGAGACCGGGAUGCAUGGGAUUCCUGGAGUGACACGUGGCCGUAGAAAUGGCCGUAGCCAGAGAAAUAGGCAUGAGGCACAGCCCCUUACCCUGGAGAUACUGCAUGGCCGAUCCCAUGUCCUCUUCCAUUAGCUUAGCCACCUGGUGCUCCGUUACCGUCAUGCCAUCAUUAUUGUUGUUGUUCGAUGAUGACGCUGUUUGUGUUCCGUUACUGCUCCUUCCAUUCCCGCAGUCACCGCCUCCCUUUUAUAUUCAUCACAAACAACACACACACACACACCAAUGUACAAUCAAAUUAACCAAUUAUUAAACCACAUACUAUUAAAUUUCUUUUUUUUUUUAAAUAGAAAAUUUAGAUCAUUUUAGAAUUGCCAAUUUUUGGAAUGUAUAUGUAGAAGAAUGUGAGUACUAUAGUGAUUUAAUACAUAAGAAGAGAUAAAAUAAAAAAUGAUUUAAAAAAAAAUAUGUUGACGACGACAAAAAUGUGGUAAAAUUUUUUUUUUACUGGAAACCUACAAUCCAAAUGCAGCAGGCAGUCACUUGACUAUUAUUGAUUGCACGGAAACCAAAACCGGGGGUUGCUGAAUCAGCCAGCCGCCCAUGCCCAUGCCCAUGCGGGCAGGGGAGGGAGGUAGUGGUGGGGGAGGCAGUGGAAUGUGGAAAGCGAGCACGCGUGAUACACUUUUUGAUAAAUUGUCGUUUUCUAAGGAGGACAAGAAGCGUAUUUGAUUGAUUUUUUAAAAAAUGCAGGAGAAAAAGGUUAGAGGUGCGUGCGUGGUUGGUUUUGGAGAUGUCGACGAUUCCUGCUCCAACCUUUUUUCUGUUUUUGGAAAGAUUAAAAGGUUGGAGUGAGUUGGAGAGACAGUCAUCUUAUCUCAAUGCAAAAUAUUUUUUGUUUUAGCAGCUUAGCUCUAGGGAAAAGCAAGAAGCAUAGAGGUAAAUUAAUGCUGCCUAUUUUUGGUUUAAGUUGAAUUAGGUGCUUUUGGUAAAAGAAGAUUAGAUUGGCUAACGCAACAAUAAUGAAUUACUAAAAUUUGGUGAACGGAGACUUGUACAUUAGAUAGAUAGAUUAAUGUUCUGUGUGGAUUGUGUAUUUUUUAGAGUUUUAAUAGAAAAAUAUAUUGCAGUUAUUUAAUGCUAUAUGCAGGAUUUUUUUUUGGAAAAAAAAAAUGAUUAGAAAAUUGCAAUGCAAGAAAUAGAAUGUAGCAAGUACCUCAGAAGACAUAUCAGCAGCGAGGGGGGCAACAGCACCACCUAAUCUGCUCAUGCUCAGAACCUGCGUUACAUAUUGUAUAAUGACCACAGCUUAAACGGUUUGUUCAUCAUCAUCAUUAACCCCAAAAAAAAAAAUUGAAAAAAGAAAAGGUUUGGUUUUCAACUUUUCUAAUUAUCUUAAUCAAUCCCCAUUACUGUUGGUCACGGAAUUUCGCAAUAAACAACAACCAAAGAGAGGAAUUUUCUCGGACAACAAAAUAAGACGCCCCAUGUUCACCCCACCCCAUCUAAUUAAAACUAUAAUAAUAAUAACAGAAUUUGUCAACUAAAUAAAAGAAUCCCUCCCCACUUCUUCUUUUCUAAUAAAUAAAUACAGACAUCUACCCCUGCUACUCAUCUUCUAAUAGAAUACUACUAAAGUAAGGAGCGGAAAGGGGGGGAGAUUAGGAGUCAGUACUUUGACUUGGAGCUGGAGGAAUUUGACGUAGUCGAUGAUCUCGUCCAGCAUUGAAGCCUUGUCCGUCUGUCAUCCCCCCACCAAAUACAUCCAACAACAACAACACGGUAUCAGCCCCAUUUAAAAAUAGUAGCAGUGUGUGUUGUGAGCAGCAGUCAUACACUUAUCUCCAGUGUUAAAAAUAAGCACGAAAAAUGUUCGAUCCAUUAAAUCAAUCUGUGUGUACGAUGCGAUCAUAUGAUUCCAAUUUAAAUCACCUUUUUAUCUCUCGCAUAUAUUAAAUUACUACUACAGUAAUUUUUCUAUAAAAAAUUUAAAAAAAAAUACAAUCCAUACAAAGAAUAAAUUUUGUACAUGUGCUAGUAGUAAAAUAUUAUGCCCUGAUUUGUUCAUAAAAGAUUAUACCAGCAGUACUGAUAUAUAUAAUUAUACUGGCUAAAAGAUUCAAGAAAAAGGGAGGAAAGAAACCAGGAGUGCCGGUACAUCUGAGUCAGGGACUGUGCUUUUUUUUUUUAGGAGGAGUAGCUAUCAUCUGAUUAUGAAUGAUCCCUCUGUCACUCUAUCUGCUUUCCAGCUUUACAUUUUCAGGUACGCACGGAAAGAUAUAUACUGAACAAACUCCCCCCACUUUACCACAGUCUGUACUCCAGUGUACUCGCUCCCUUCAUGAUUAAAGUACAAAAUGUUGUCCUACCCCUACUAUUUUGCCCGCCCUAUGAUUUUCCUUGAACUUCAAUUCAAGAAACCCUCUUGCUUGUAAAUUCUUAUAUAUAUAUUUUUUAGAGCUUCAUGUUAUGGUACUAUCAUUGGAUUAAGCAGUUACACAAUUUGUGGAAGUUUAAUCAAUGAAAAAUUAAAAGUUAUCGCUAAUUCUUAGUAGUAUUAAUAGUCAACAAAAGAAAGAGACAGAGGGAGAAAGAUUAGACUGAAGCGAGUAGCUAGCGCGUACACCUUGUUUGCAUUGGGCACCAGUUCCUGCAGAGCCUUCAUUCUCUCUGCAAUUCUCUCUCUACGUAGCUGUCAUCACCCACAUUAUACAAACAAAUUCCAAAAACAGAAUCAGCAAAAUUCAGAAACUAGAAAACAAAUUGAAACAAGCGAAAAACAAGAAACAAAUUUUUGUACUGCUAGCCUAAUAACAGGACUGCAAAGUCACGGCUUCUAGUAUAACGUACUCUUUCAGCAAUGCUAUGUGGAUCCGUGGCUUGUCCUCUCCGGGCCCUCACCCUCUGCUGUCGUGGCUGCGCCGCCGCCGUCCCUCCUCCUCCGGCGGUUCCCAUUGAACCGCUUGCCGCGGCCUGGUUCAUUGCCUGGGCUCCAAAAUUUUGGGCUUGCAUCGCUCCGCCCUGUACAAAUUAAGCCAAAGACGCAAAUAAAACGAAAUCCCAUUUAUCAGUACAAGUUCCUUUUUAACAAACAAGGGGGAAAAAAGGUAGGGGAUGGUUUAGAUUUGAAAAUAAUCAGGAGAGAGACCUGAGGGUGGUGAAAAUGCUGAAGUUGAGUAGAGGGUUGAACAGUAAAUCCGUUGUAUAGAGCUUGAACUGAUGCAUCAUUUCCCUGUCAUUAAAUUCUCAGUUAAAACCCAUAUUUAAUACUACUACUAACAAAUUUUUAAUCAUAUAAACUGAAGAAUAAUUAAAUUAAUUAUAGACUCCUUAAUUACACUCUGCCAGAGAAAAACAAAAUGAACUCACGGGAUUAGCAGAUUUAAAGGGGGACCCGUCGACGAUGACUUCAUUCUGAUCGCCGUUACCGGCCAAAUUCAGCGGCGGCAUGGCCAAGAGGCCGCCGUUGGGGCCAGGAGGGGAUCUGAGGCCAUUUCCGGCGAGGCCCCGAGGGAGCAUUAACUGUUGAUGAAGCAUUAAAGCUUUGGCGCCGCCGAUCUGGUGCUGCCGGAGCUUAUUAGCCAACAAAACCGACUGGUCCUCGAGAGAACCCAGAGGGGUCUGGGACAAAGGGUCCCAGGGGGGCUGGGUUUUAAUAAGGUCAGGAGCAGGCCAGGAAGCGGUGGAGAUGGAAGAAAGCAUUUGUUCGAGGAAGUCGUCGUGGGACGACGUCGUCGAGUCGAAGUGGUGGUGGUGCUGUUGUUGUUGGCCGUUUUGGAGGUCGUGGAGUUGUUGGUUAAGGAGGGAAUUCAUGGCUUGCAUUUCUCUGCUACUGCUACUACCGGGUUGCAUUUUCUGUGAACGUAGGAGAAGUUCUUGAGCCUUAAAUUUCACGAAUAACGAGAGAACUUAAGCUAGCAAGUGAUUUGGUCUUCUUUCUUUUCUACUAUACGAUACGAUGAUUUUCGGCACUCGCGGGACGAGAGAGAGAGAGAGAGAGGACUUUAGUUGUCAACUGUGCUACGAGACUCGAAUAGAAGUCGAGAAAUAGUAGGAAGUGGCAAGUGAUGGAGGAAGAAAGGGCUGUUGUUACUGGUUUUUG